GAGAAGAUGAUCGAGUGGUUCAAUUGAAGAGAAUUCAUGGGGCAAGUGGAAACCCUAAUUUAUCAAUUAAAAUGUCAAAUAGUGGGCCAAGCAGGUCGAGAAGUCAAACUGGGUCAAAGGCCUCAGAUCGGGUCGCUACAUCACGAACGAUUACGAUUAACCCUAGCCGAAAUUCGUCGUACUCGUCCACGGCGAUUACUUCAUCGCAGGAAUCGGGCGCGAAGAGUACGUUGUCUGACCAUACCGCCGAAUGACUGACAACGAAGUGCGGAUUAAGAAGGAAAAAGGUUUGUGUUUUAGAUGUGACGAGAAGUUUAGUCUAGGGCACCGCUGCAAAAGACGUGAAUUGAACAUCAUUGCUGUACAAGAAGGGGAAGACUUAAGUGACAAAACCGAUCAAGUGGGGGAAGAAAUCGAAACCAACGGGAAUGAGGAAGUCAAUACAGAAAUAGUGAAUCUGUAAAUAAAUUCAUUGGUAGGUUUCAAUUCGCCGAAAACCAUAAAAAUUAAAGGAGAAAUAAGGGGACGUGAGGUUGUGGUGCUGAUCGAUGGGGGAGCCACGCACAAUUUUAUUGCAGAAGAGGUAGUCAAAGAGCUAAAAAUUUCAGUAGAAACCAUGGAUGCAUAUAUGGGGUUGUUCUGGGAACCGGAGGCGUAGUCCAAGCAACCAGUGUGUGUAAGGAUGUAAACCUGACAAUCGCCAAUUUAUCAAUCACUCACGAUUUUCUCCCUCUACCACUCGGAGUGCCGACGUUAUAUUAGGAGUUACUUGGUUGGAAAUGUUAGGGAAAGUAAUUUUUUAUUACAAGUUGUCGGAGAUGGAAUUUGUGAGAGCCCCAAUCAUACAUACGUAUGUUAGGAAGGGUAAGAAGGGAAACUCACCAACAUGUAAGGAGAGAGAAUGAGUGGGAAAUAAAAGAAUGUGCAGGUGGGUCCCACUGGGUAGGAAUUUGAGGGUGAGUAUAAAUAGAAUGAUUGAGAAAUAGGGAUAGGUAUCUUUUUGGUUAUCUUUUAAGAAAGGGAGGCGGCAGCAGCCGAUAGGAGAGGGGUAUCCUUCUUGUGAAGGGUGCUGGUAUGUUCUUGUUUUCAUUCCUUAUUGUAGCUGUAACUUUGGGCUAUAUAUAUAAAUAAAGGAUCACAGGGUGCUGUCUCUGUUUAGCCAUAGUUGGGUAUUUUAUUAGAAAGGGUGUAGAAUCCUAACAUUUGGUAUCAGAGCCCGACAAAAAGAAAAAACUGGGGGUGGUUACGCGUCGCAUGGCACAAAGACAAAUGGAGGAACGAAUGGAAGGAACCGAGAAGGAGCUGCUGAGCAUGAAAGAAAUGCUACUGGAAAUGAAGAAAUCUAUGGAAAGACUGACAGAGGAACUAAGAGAGAAUCAUAGCUAUAAGAAAAGAGAUGAAUCCGGAACAUCUGAUGGAUCCAGCAUGAAGCUGAAAGGAAAAGUAGAAGAAUCAGAAGUCUCUAAUGAGGAAAAUGGAAGCAAUGUGGAUCGAAGUAAGUACGCAAAGUUAGAAAUGCCUAUGUUCUUAGGUGAAAAUCCAGAAUCCUGGGUAUAUAGAGCAGAACAUUUCUUUGAGAUGAACAACCUGCCAGAAAACGAGAAGAUCAGAGUGGCGGUGGUCAGUUUUGGGCAAGAGGAAGUGGACUGGUACAGGUGGACGCAUAAUAGGAAGAAAGUAGAGUCAUGGGAAGAUUUGAAAGGGAGGAUGUUUGAUUUCUUCAAGGACUCAGGACAAACAAGUCUAGUGGCACGCUUGAUUAGGAUUCAACAAGAUGGAUCCUACAGUGAGUAUGUGAAGAAAUUUGUCACAUAUUCAGCUCCCCUCCCUCACAUGGAGGAAAGUGUGUUACGCGAUGCUUUUCUGACCGGUCUGGAACCCAAUCUUCAGGCAGAAGUCGUUAGUCGUUACCUCGAACAUUGGAAGAUUGUAUGAGGGAGGCUCAACUAGUCAAUGAUCGGAAUGUAGCAAUGAAAUUGACUAAGACCGAGGGCAGGACAGUGGAACCAAAGAAAAAAGAAGAGUAUGCAGGAAAAAUCCAAGAUGGAACAGACAAAGGCUACAUGAGGAGGACAGAUUUCCCCAUAAAACAAGUAACUAUACCUAUUAAGGGUAGUUAUCAAAAAAGUGAACCUCCUAUCAAACGACUUUCAGACGCAGAAUUCAGGUCCAGAUUGGAUAAGGGCCUAUGUUUUAAAUGUAAUGAGAAAUAUACACCAGGGCACAGAUGUAGAGUGAAGGAAAAAAGGGAGCUGAUGUUAUUUAUCAUGAAUGAAGAGGAGAGCAAGGAAGAGGAAGGCAAGAUGGAAGGGGAACCAGGGGAAACAGUGGAAUUAAACCAUCUGGAUUUUGCUGAAGGGGAGGAAAUAGAAUUGAAGACAAUCCAUGGGAUGGCAUCGAAGGGAACGAUGAAGCUGAAGGGAAAUAUAAAGGGCAAAGGAGUGAUAGUGCUGAUUGAUAGUGGAGCAACCCAUAAUUUUAUACAUAACCGGACAGUAAAGGAAAAGAACUUAUAUUUGGAAAAAGGUAACCCGUUUGGUUACAAUUGGAGAUGGCACCAAGUGUACAGGCAAGGGUGUUUGCAAGAGAGUGGAAUUGGAACUACAAGGGGUGGUGGUGGUGGCUGAUUUUUUUGCUAUUGAGUUGGGAAAUGUGGAUGUAAUAUUGGGUAUGCAGUGGCUGGAUACAACAGGCACCAUGAAGAUACAUUGGCCAUCUCUAACAAUGUCUUUCUGGUUAGGCAAACAGAAAAUUAUCUUGAAAGGAGACCCAUCCCUCAUCCAAGCAGAAUGUUCCCUGAAAACCAUUGAGAAAACGUGGGAAAAUGAAGAUCAGGGUUUUCUGUUGGAAUUCCAAAAGUAUGAAGUAGACACGGAGGUGGAAGUGGAGCAGGAAAUGAAAGGGGACGAGGAAGAGAUUCCAAUGAUUAAAAAUCUGUUACAACAGUAUGCAGACAUCUUUGAGGAUCCAAAACAACUACCCCUAAGAGAGAAAUAGAUCACCGUAUAUUGGUUUUACCGAACCAAAGGCCCAUCAAUUUCAGACCAUAUAAAUAUGGUUAUGUACAGAAGGAGGAAAUUGAGAAAUUGGUGGUGGAAAUGCUGCAAGCAGGUGUGAUACGUCCCAGUCAUAGCCCUUACUCCAGCCCUGUUUUAUUGGUCAAAAAGAAAGAUGGAGGGUGGCGCUUUUGUGUAGAUUACCGGAAACUCAACCAAGUAACCAUAUCGGACAAAUUUCCUAUCCCAGUGAUAGAAGAACUGCUGGAUGAAUUACAUGGAGCCACGGUUUUCUCAAAACUAGAUCUGAAGUCUGGUUACCAUCAAAUAAGGAUGCAGAAGGAAGAUGUUGAGAAGACCGCGUUCAGAACACAUGAGGGUCACUAUGAAUUUUUGGUAAUGCCCUUCGGUCUUACAAACGCACCAGCCACCUUCCAGUCCUUGAUGAAUCAGGUAUUCAAACCUUUCUUAAGAAGGUGUGUAUUGGUAUUCUUCGAUGAUAUACUUGUAUAUAGCAAGGAUAUAUCAGAACAUGAGAAACAUCUAGGGAUGGUAUUUGCAGUGUUGAGGGAUAACCAUCUAUUUGCAAAUAAGAAGAAGUGUGUCAUAGCUCACUCCAAAAUCCAAUAUUUGGGGCAUAUAAUUUCGAGUAAAGGAGUACAGGCUGAUGAGGAGAAGAUCAAAGACAUGGUGAAAUGGCCUCAGCCGAAAGAUGUCACGGGUCUGAGAGGAUUUCUGGGAUUAUCGGGCUAUUAUCGUAGGUUUGUGAAAGGAUACGGAGAAAUUGCAGCCCCUUGACCAGAUUGUUGCAAAAGAAUUCUUUUGCGUGGGAUGAACAAGCAACCGACGCUUUUGAAAAAUUAAAGAUGGCCAUGACUACUAUCCGGUGCUAGCACUGCCGAAUUGGGAUCUACCUUUUUUAAUCGAAACAGAUGCUUCAGGGACAGGAUUGGGAGCUGUACUUUCACAGAAUGGUCACCCCAUAGCCUUCUUCAGCCAGAAAUUGUCGACACGAGCUCAGGCCAAGUCCAUUUACGAAAGAGAACUGAUGGCUGUAGUAUUAUCAGUGCAGAAAUGGCGUCAUUAUCUAUUAGGAAGGAAGUUUACAAUUAUCUCAGAUCAAAAGGCAUUGAAAUUUCUCCUAGAGCAGAGGAAGUACAACCCCAAUUUCAGAAAUGGCUGACCAAACUGCUGGGAUACGAUUUUGAAAAUAUUAUACCAACCUGGAUUACAAAACAAAGCAGCAGAUGCCCUUUCUAGGAUGGAAUAUCCGCUGGAAGUAAACUCCUUGACGACAACUGGCAUUGUAGACAUGGAAGUGAUAGACAAGGAAGUCAACCAAGAUGAGGAAUUACAGAAAACCAUUAAAGAAUUGAAACAGAAUCCAGAGGGAAUUAGCAAAUUUAGCUGGGAGAAUGGGAAACUGUUCUACAAGAAGAGAGUGGUGUUAUCAAAGAAGUCGUCAGUGAUCCCACAUUGCUGCAUACAUUCCAUGACUCCAUCUUGGAGGACACUCGGGAUUCUUGAGGACAUAUAAAAGGAUGAGCGGAGAGCUGUACUGGGAGGGAAUGAAGGCUGAUAUAAAGAAAUAUGUGGAACAGUGUGAGAUUUGUCAAAGAACAAAUAUGAGGCCACGAAACCAGCAGGGGUAUUACAUCCACUUCCUGCUCCGGAAGCCAUACUAGAAGAAUGGUCAAUGGAUUUCAUAGAAGGGUUACCGAAGGCAGGGGAAUGAAUGUGAUAAUGGUGGUGGUAGACAGAUUGAGCAAGUAUGCGUAUUUCAUCACUAUGAAGCACCCUUUCACAGCUAAACAAGUGGCGACGACAUUCAUUGAAAAGAUCAUCAGCAAGCAUGGGGUUCCAAAAUCCAUAGUAUCCGACAGGGAUAAAGUUUUCAUUAGUCAUUUUUGGAAGGAGUUAUUUACAACUAUGGGAACUAAACUGAAAAGAAGCACGGCGUUCCACCCACAAACAGAUGGGCAAACGGAAAGGGUAAACCAAUGUCUGGAGACAUACUUGAGAUGCUUUUGCAAUGAGCAACCUCAAAGGUGGCAUAAGUUCAUUCCAUGGGCUGAACUGUGGUAUAACACUACUUUCCAUUCAUCCAUACGUUCCAACCCUUUCAAGAUUGUAUAUGGAAGGCAACCACCCCCGAUUCUAUCCUACGGAACCCGAAAAACUCAGAAUGAUGAGGUAGAAAUAAUGCUCAAGGAGAGAGAUCUGGCAUUGAACGCCUUGAAGGAGAAUCUUCACUUAGCCCAAAACCGCAUGAAGAAAUGGGCAGACACCAAAAGAAGGGAAUUGAAGUUCAAGGUGGGUGAUGAAGUAUACCUAAAGCUCAGACCUUAUAGGCAGAGAUCCUUAGCUCGGAAAAGGUGUGAAAAGCUGGCUCCAAAAUUCUACGGGCCUUACACAAUCAUUGAAGAGAUAGGAGAGGUGGCCUAUAGAUUGAAACUUCCACGAGAGGCGAGUAUUCAUGAUGUGUUCCACAUCUCACAGUUGAAGCUCAAGUUAGGUAAGCAGAAGGUUGUGCAGCAACAGCAACCUAUGUUGACAACAGAUUUCGAAUUACAACUAUGGCCAGAACAGGUAUUGGGAAUUCGCUGGAACAAAGAAUUGGGAGCUAACGAAUGGCUAGUCAAGUGGAAGAAUUUACCAGAAACUGAAGCCACAUGGGAAGCUGUCUAUCAAAUGAAUCAACAGUUUCCCACAUUCCACCUUGAGGACAAGGUGAAUUUGGAACCGAGGGGUGUUGUGAGACCCCCAAUCAUACAUACGUAUGUUAGGAAGGGUAAGAAGGGAAACUCACCAACAUGUAAGGAGAGAGAAUGAGUGGGAAAUAAAAGAAUGUGCAGGUGGGUCCCACUGGGUAGGAAUUUGAGGGUGAGUAUAAAUAGAAUGAUUGAGAAAUAGGGAUAGGUAUCUUUUUGGUUAUCUUUUAAGAAAGGGAGGCGGCAGCAGCCGAUAGGAGAGGGGUAUCCUUCUUGUGAAGGGUGCUGGUAUGUUCUUGUUGUUCAUUGUUCUUGUUUUCAUUCCUUAUUGUAGCUGUAACUUUGGGCUAUAUAUAUAAAUAAAGGAUCACAGGGUGCUGUCUCUGUUUAGCCAUAGUUGGGUAUUUUAUUAGAAAGGGUGUAGAAUCCUAACAGAAUUCUCACGGGGUGAAUGGGUGGUAAUUCUUCAAGGGGAUAGAAGUUUAGUAAGAUCCCAAGUGUCACUGAAAUCGAUAAUGAAAACCUUUGAGAAGGAAGAUCAAGGCGUGUCAAUCGAAUUAAGUGCAGUUGUACAGUGGGGAGUGGGCGAAGCAAGGGAACACAUAGCAGACUACUUGAGUAAACUACAACCAGAAAUUCAAAAGUUCUUCAGUCCUUUAGCAUUGUGUUUGAACCAAGCAAUCAAUUACCCCCACCUCGCGAUCAUGAUCAUGCUAUUGAAUUAGAACCAGGGGCUCGUGCAGUGAACGUGCGCCCGUAUCGUUAUCCCCAAUUUUAGAAAGAUGAGAUAGAGAAACUAGUUAAGGAAAUGCUGCUAGCCGGAAUAAUUCAGCCAAGCAAAAGUGCCUUUUCAGUGCUCCUUGUUAAGAAAAAGGAUGGUAGCUGGCGAUUUUGCGUUGAUUACCGAGCACUGAAUCUUGCCACUAUACCAGAUAAGUAUCUGAUUCCUGUUGUUGAUGAACUGUUAGACAAAUUAUUUGGGGCAACCAUAUUCUCCAAAAUUGAUUUAAAGUUAGGUUAUCAGCAAAUUCGGGUGCGGGCAGCCGAUGUUCACAAAACAGCGUUUCGAACCCACGAGGGGCCCUAUGAAUUCCUUGUGAUGCUGUUUGGGUUGAAACGCUCCGGCAACAUUCCAAUCAAUCAUGAGUGAUGUUCUUCGCCCAUAUUUACGCAAGUUUGUUUUGGUUUUCUUUGAUGACAUCUUAAUUUACAGCAAGUCCUUGGACGAGCAUUUGCACCAAUUGGCAAUGGUUUUGGAAACUCUAGUAGCUCAUCAACUGGUAGCCAACUUUAAAAAAUGCCAAUUUGCGGUUGCCAAAAUUGAAUACUUGGGCCAUGUUAUUUCUUCAGAGGGGGUGGCAGCGGAUCCAACAAAAAUAGAAGCGAUGGUUAAAUGGCCAGCACCCAAGAACGUGAAGGAGCUAGGUGGGUUUUUUGGGGCUAACGGGGUAUUAUCGGAAAUUCGUUGCAAACUACGGUUCUAUUGUGCUGCCCCCCUUGACACAACUGUUAAAAAAAGGUAACUUUAAGUGGAAUGAGACGACCGAGAACGCAUUUCAGCAGUUAAAAGUCAGCAAUGAUGUCUGUCCCGAUGCUAGGUAUUCCUGAUUUUUCACAAAGUUUUGUGCUGGAAACUGAUGCUUCGGGUGUGGGUAUUGGGGCUGUCCUAAUGCAAAAUCAACGACCAGUGGCCUUUUUCAGUCAAGCUUUACCUAUUACCCAUAGGUUUAAGGCUGUUUAUGAACGGGAGCUUAUGGCAAUAGUGCUGGCUGUUCAAAAAUGGCGACCAUAUCUAUUGGGUAAGCCUUUUGUGGUGCGUACAGAUCAGAAAAGUUUGAAGUUUCUUCUUGAACAACGGGCUAUCGGGGAGAAUAUCAGAGAUGGAUCGCUAAACUAUUGGGGUAUGAUUUUGUGAGUGAGUACAAGAAAGGAUUGGAAAACAAAGCGGCCGAUGCCUUAUAGAGAUUACCACCGGUAUUUGAAUUGGGCCUCGUAAGUAUUGUGGGCGGGCUAAACCCUUCGGUUUUCAUCGAUCAAGUGGCUGGAAAUGAAUCUCUUAACAAUAUUCGACUAUCCUUGAUAAAUGGACAGCCAGCUCCAGAUGGAUAUUUGCUACAAGGAGGAGGAUUCACCUAAUAUUACUUUAUUAUUAGCUGAGUUCCAUAACAGCCCGAUAGGGGGACAUCAUGGUGCAUUGAAAACAUAUCAAAGGCUAGCAAGGGAGGUCUAUUGGCGAGGUAUGAAAGCCCAUAUCCGCACCUAUGUUGCUGAAUGUUCCGUGUGUCAGCAAGCCAAAUACUUGUCUUUAACUCAGGCUGGUUUCCUUCAAGCAUUACCCAUUCCGGACCGUGUGUGGGAAGAUAUUAGUAUGGAUUUUAUUGAGGGCCUCCACAGUUUGUUACAGGGGAGGUUAAAAGGGAGAGAUGGAAGGAAAGAUGGGGGUUGGUUAAUCAGUUUCUGGAAGUGGAAGGGCUGUAUUUUCUGGAGAGCAGAAUUACAGAAGUUGUUCAGUUACUUUAAUCUUAGAAAGUGUUUUCCAUUAUCCUAAACUACUUUUGAUGUUUGAAUGUUUUAUUUUAUACUUGGUUAUUGUCUGUAAUAGUACUUGUUUGUUCGGUGUUUUCAAGACUGGUUUGAGUAUUGUAUUCUGUAAUAGUUUGGUUGCUUAAUGAACAAAUAAGAACCACUACUUGGUGUUCUAUCAGCUUCUCAGUCAAGCAUACACAUCUCAAUAAGGUAUUAUACAUGCAAUCAAACAAUCACAACAUACAUACCAUUUACUCAAAACGACCUAAAACAUGCUCAAAACGACCUAAAACGUGCUCAAAACGUGUCUAACUUUCACUGCAACUUUCAAAACGACCUAAAACAGCUUAAGUGCAGGUUCGUAACUCAUAACCUACGAAAAAAGUUCAAAUAUUGUGAAAAAAGCACUACAAUACCCAAAAUGGCAACCAAGUGUGUAAGUGCAACAAACUUAGUUCAAACCAACCUAAAACGUGCUCAAAACGUGUCUAGGUAUUACUUGAGUUUUCAAAACGACCUAGCAAAUCCUAAGGGUAAGUUCGUAACUCAUAAUCUACCGAAAAGGUUGAAAAAAGCAUUUCAAGAAAAAAUGACAACCAUGUGUGUAAGUGCAACAAACUCAAUCUAACCUAAAAUGUAUUCAAAACGUGUGUAAGUAUCACUUGAAUUUUCAAAACGACCCAGCAAUGCUUAAGUGUAAGUUUGUAACUCACAACCUACCAAAAUUUCAAAAAAUGUGAAAAAAGUACUUCAAGACCCAACAUGUCAAUCAAAUGUGUUUAAAACUUAGUGUCAAACCAACCUAAAACGAGUUCAAAACGUGUCUAAGUAUCACUUGAACUUUCAAAACGACCUAAAAAAGCUUACGUGUAGGUUCGUAACUCAUAACCUACGAAAAAAGUUCAAAUAGAGUGAAAAAAGCACUACAAGACCCAAAAUGGCAACCAAGUGUGUAAGUGCAACAAACUUAGUUCAAACCAACCUAAACAUGCUCAAAACGUGUCUAGGUAUUACUUGAGUUUUCAAAACGAUCUAGCAAAUCCUAAGUGUAAGUUAGUAACUCAUAAUCUACCAAAAAGGUUGAAAAAAGCAUUUCAAGACCAAAAAUGACAACCAAGUGCAACAAACUCAAUCUAACCUAAAAUGUAUUCAAAACGUGUGUAAGUAUCACUUGAAUUUUCAAAACGACCAAGCAAUGCUUCAGUGUAAGUUUGUAACUCACAACCUACCAAAAUUUCAAAAAGUAUGAAAAAAGUACUUCAAGACCCAACAUGUCAAUCAAAUGUGUGUAAAACUUAGUUUCAAACCAACCUAAAACGAGUUCAAAACGUGUCUAAGUUUCACUUGAACUUUCAAAACGACCUAACAAAUAUUCAAUACAAGUUCAUAAGUCAUAACCUAGAAAAAGUUCAAAAUUUUUGAAAAAGACACUCCAAAACCCAAAAUGUCAAGUGUGUAAGUGCAACGAACUUAGUUCUAUACAAACCUAACAAGUAUUCAAAACACGUAUAAGUUUUCGAACACCCUAACAACGCUUAAGUGUAAGUUUAUAACUCAUAACUUACCAAAAAUUUCAAAAAGUGUGAAAAAAAAUCUUUCAAGACUCAAAAUGGCAACCAUGGCUGUAUGCAAAACUAACUUAGUUUGUAACAACCUAAAAGGUGUUCAAAAAUGUUUUAAGUAUCACUCGAACUUUAAAAAACCUAAUAAUGCUUUAGUGUUACUUCAUAACUCAUAACCUACCAAAAAGUUCAAAAAAUGUAGAAAAAGCACUCCAAAAUCCAAAAUGGCAACCAAGUGUGUAAGUGCAACAAGCUUAGUCCAACUUUAAAAUUAGUGCGAGUUGGGAAAUGUAUUAACUCAAGCAUGAUGUACAAACUUGAAACGACUUAAAUAUUUAUUCACCAUCACAUAAAAACAGUAAUUAAAUAUAGAUAACAUGUGUAAAUAAAGGGAGAAUCACCUUUCUAGCAAGCUUUAGAGUAAGACCAAACACCAUCCUCCUACUUGUAAAUCUGCUCGAUUGUCUACUUUGUUCUACACUCGUCAUUUCACCGUCUCAGGCCAUCCAUUGAAUUGGCCACCCAGCCUUGGCAUACAAGAGUAUGUCUCAGCCUGUUAACAAAUACCACUAAAACUAAGCAAGACAAAGAAAAAGUUUUCAAAAAUUACCUAACUUUUAGUCUUCAUGUGACUUUAAGUUCUUCUGUCUUCUCCUUCAACUCUUUGACAGAUUGCUGAAAUUAUGUGUUUCUGCAAUGUUUACCAGAACAUGAAAGAUUCAUUACGAACAUAAAUACCAUGAAUACAAAGCAUGAAGAAAUAGUAAAACAGUCAAUACAAGAAGAAAAAAGUUCACUUGAAAACGACCUAAAACAGUAUCACUUGAACAAAAUGUGUCUAAGUAUCACUUGAACUUUCAAAACGACCUAAAACAGCUUACGUGUAGGUUCGUAACUCAUAACCUACGAAAAAAGUUCAAAUAGAGUGAAAAAAGCACUACAAGACCCAAAAUGGUAACCAAGUGUGUAAGUGCAACAAACUUAGUUCAAACCAACCUAAAACGUGCUCAAAACGUGUCUAGGUAUUACUUGAGUUUUCAAAACGACCUAGCAAAUCCUAAAUGUAGGUUUGUAACUCAUAAUCUACCAAAAAGGUUGAAAAAAGCAUUUCAAGACCAAAAAUGACAACCAAGUGCAACAAACUCAAUCUAACCUAAAAUGUAUUCAAAACGUGUGUACGUAUCACUUAAACUUUCAAAACGACCAAACAAUGCUUAAGUGUAAGUUUGUAACUCACAACCUACCAAAAUUUCAAAAAGUGUAAAAAAAGCACUUCAAGACCCAAAACGGCAACGAAGUAUGUAAGUGCAACGGACUUAGUUUCAAGCCAUCCUAAAAAGAGUGCAAAACGUGUCUAAGAUUUCAAACCGACCAAACAAUACUCAAGCGUAAGUUCGUAACUCACAACCUAAAAAAAUUUCAAAAAGUGUGAAAAAAAGUACUUCAAGACCAACAUUUCAAUCAAAUGUGUAAGUGCAACAAACUUAGUUUCAAACCAAUGCAAAAUGUGUUUAAAACGACCUAACAAUCCUUAAGUGUAAGCUCGUAACUCACAAACUAACAAAAAAAUCAAAAUGCGUGAAAAAUGCACUUUGAGACCUAACAUGGCAACCAAGUAUGCAAGUGAAACAAACUUAGUCUUAAACAAAUCUAAAAAAUUUCAAACCGUGUUUAAGUAUCACUUGAACUUUCAGAACGACCUAAGAAUGUUUAUUUGUAAGUUCGUCACUCAUAACCUACCAAAAGUUCAAGAAGUAUGGAAAAAAAGGAAACACUACACGACCCAAAAUGGCAACCAAGUGCGCAACUGCAAACAAAAUUAGUUCCAAACCAACCUAAAAAGUGGUCAAGGCGUGUCUAAGUAUCACUUGGACUUUCAAAACAACCUAACAAAAUUUAAGUGUAAGUUGGUAACCCAUAGCCUACCAAAAAGUUCAAAAAGUGUGAAAACGGCACUUCAAGACCGAAAAUGGCAACCAAUUGGAUAAGGUCAACAAACUUAGUUUCAAACCAACCUAAACGAGUUAAAAACGUGUCUAAGUAUCACUUGAACUUUUAAAAUGUCCUAAAACAGCUUACGUGUAGGUUCGUAACUCAUAACCUACGAAAAAAGUUCAAAUAUUGUGCAAAAAGCACUACAAGACCCAAAAUGGCAACCAAGUGUGUAAGUGCAACAAACUUAGUUCAAACCAACCUAAAAUGUGCUCAAAACGUGUCUAGGUAUUACUUAAGUUUUCAAAGCGACCUAGCAAAUCCUAAGUGUAACUUUGAAACUCAUAAUCUACCAAAAAGGUUGAAAAAAGCAUUUCAAGACCAAAAAUGACAACCAAGUGCAACAAACUCAAUCUAACCUAAAAUGUAUUCAAAACGUGUGUAAGUAUCACUUGAAUUUUCAAAACGACCCAGCAAUGCUUAAGUGUAAGUUUGUAACUCACAACCUACCAAAAUUUCAUAAAGUGUGAAAAAAGUACUUCAAGACCCAACAUGUCAAUCAAAUGUGUUUAAAACUUAUUGUCAAACCAACCUAAAACGAGUUCAAAACGUGUCUAAGUAUCACUUGAACUUUCAAAACGACCUAAAAAAGCUUACGUGUAGGUUUGUAACUCAUAACCUACGAAAAAAGUUCAAAUAGUGUGAAAAAAGCACUACAAGACCCAAAAUGGUAACCAAGUGUGUAAGUGCAACAAACUUAGUUCAAACCAACCUAAAACGUGCUCAAAACGUGUCUAGGUAUUACUUAAGUUUUCAAAACGACCUAGCAAAUCCUAAGUGUAAGUUCGUAACUCAUAAUCUACCAAAAAGGUUGAACAAACAACUAUGGCUUUAGAGUAAGACCAAACACCAUCCUCCUACUUGUAAAUCUGCUCGAUUGUCUACUUUGUUCUACACUCGUCAUUUCACCGUCUCAGGCCAUCCAUUGAAUUGGCCACCCAGCCUUGGCAUACAAGAGUAUGUCUCAGCCUGUUAACAAAUACCACUAAAACUAAGCAAGACUAAGAAAAAAGUUUUCAAAAAAUUACCUAACUUUUAGGUCUUCAUGUGACCUUUAAGUUCUUCUGUCUUCUCCUUCAACUCUUUGACAGAUUGCUGAAAUUAUGUGUUUCUGCAAUGUUUACCAGAACAUGAAAGAUUCAUUACGAAACUAAUUACCAUGAAUACAAGCCAUGAAGAAAUACAAAGAAGCCUCUUCAUUAAGCUGAAAAUGAGUAGACAAGACAAAAGAUAAUACAAAGAAGCCCUAGGAUCAGCUAGUGCACUUGGACAUCUCAUCUAGGUUGACACCCACUUAGCAUUCUCACCAUAUCGAGACUUAAACCAAAAGACUAAACCAACGACAAGGUUUAGAAUAGAUCAUACAAACUGCCCAAUAACUAUACAACAUAGAUUUAAGACCACUAGAAAUCCAAAAGAAAUAAAAUAAGAGUACAGUAGUGGACUAAGAAUUAAAAAUGAAAGUCGGCCAAUUAUGACUUAUAUCUUGUAUGGAGAAAUCUUUGAAGUCUUUUGAAAGAGAGCAUCAAGUAGAAGCAUUGAUUCUAGCCAUUUCGACUCGAGUUGUCCAAGAGGAAGCUUUAUUUUGAAAUGUUAGUUGAUUUUGUUCAAACCAAAUUUCUGGUAAAAUGGCCUUUACUGCAUUUAACCAAAUCAAUCUUGGUUUCUUCUUGAGAAUGGGACAUGAAAUAAGCUGGACCACGUUCUCCUAAAUCUAUAGUCGAAAACCCAAUUCAAAUGAAGAUAGCCAAGUAAGCCAAACCAACACUUCUUUGCAUGUAAGCAGGAGAAGAAAAUAUGAUGUAAAUCUUCUAAAGCAUGCAAACACAAGGGACAAACAUGAGGAGAUAAACUGAGAAAGGGAGGUUUCAUUUGCAAAACUUCUGCACAGUUCAUAGUCCAUUUUGCAUUCUCCAAAGUGUGAUAUUCACUCUUCUAGGGCUUUUUGUCUUCCAAAUUGUCGAGUACUUUGUUUUCAAGACUGUGUUAGAACCUGUUUUCUGUAAAUGUUUGGCUGAUUAAUAAAUUAGUAGAACACACUAUUUGGUGUUCUAUCAUUUUGGUAUCGUAGAAAUCGAAUCUGUGAAGUUCUAUAUCAUGGCUCAAAAGCGAAUUGAGGAAAAGUUGGAAAUGGUAGAUCAAGAAAUAUCCGGCAUUCGAGCAGAAUUACAUGAUCUGCCAACAAUCAAGGAAAACAUGUCAUCUUUGGCGAAGAGUAUUGAGAGGUUAGGAGUACAGGCUGAGAAGCAACAACAGCAACCAGAAACACUGUUGAAAUAUAUUGAAGGAAUGAUCAAAGAGAAGACAACGAUGGAAGAAGUACUAGAAGGAUCAUCAAGUAAAGUUGACAGCAUGGUUGAUGUCAGUGAUUGGACGAUGAUGGGAGGAAAAUCUGAGGAAAAACAUACCAAGUUGGAGGGUGAAGAUUCUGCGGGCGACCGAAGCAAAUUUAAAAAAAUUGAAAUGCCAGUUUUUGUGGGAAAUGAUCCUGAUUCUUGGUUGUUUAGGGCUGAGAGAUACUUUCAGAUACACAAACUGAGUGAGUCAGAGAAAAUGACUGUGUCCAUUAUUAGUUUUGAUGGAGCAGCUUUGGAUUGGUAUAAAUCUCAUGAAGAUCGUGAACCGUUUGUUAAUUGGGACGAUUUAAAGAAGAGACUUAUUGUUUGAUUUCGAUCGAGUCGUGAGGGAUCAAUUCUGGGAAGAUUUUUAAAGAUCAAGCAAGAAAUUACAGUGGAAGAAUAUCGGAAUUUAUUUGACAAAUCAGUAGCACCAUUGCCUUUUCUACAAAAGGCUGUCUUAGAAGAAACAUUUAUGAAUGGUUUGAAACCAUGGAUUAAGGCAGGCAUGGAAUGUUGGGAACCUAUGGGGCUUGCUCAAAUGAUGAAGUUGGCCCAAAAGAUUGAGAACCGAGAAGUGAUAAGGGGAGAAUCAAGUUUCAAACGUGCAGCGGAUGGAAAAUUCCAGGUUUCUGCUUCUUUUAAACCUCAAAUUCCUGUGAUUUCUAAUGAUAAUAAGUCAAAGUCAGAAGGGAUUGUUCCAAUGCGGAUGAUUACACUUCGAGGAGUGGCUGGUGAACCUAAUCGACGAGAAGGACCACUAAAACGACUUCUGAUGCUGAAUUUCAGGCUAGACGUGAGAAAGGUCUCUGUUUUCGUUGUGAGGAAUGAUUUUUUGUGGGCCAUAAGUGUAAAGUGAAAGAUCAUAAGGAACUUAGAGUUUUAGUUGUUGGGGCAAAUGGGGAAGAACUAGAAGUAGUUGAAGAAGAGGAUUCAGGAAACUUCUGAUUAUGGGGUUAUUUUGGGGUCUGAAUCAGCUGUAAAAGGGAAGGGAAUUUGUAAACAAGUGGAACUGCUAUUGGGUGAAUGGAAGGUUGUGGAUAAUUUUCUGCCAUUGGAAUUGGGGGGGAGUGGAUGUCAUUCUUGGUAUGCAAUGGCUACAUACAUUAGGAGUAACCGAAGUAGAUUGGUGAAAAAUUACUUUGACAUUCAUACAAAAUGGGAAGAAGGUUGUAUUAAGGGGAGAUCCGAGUCAUACGAAGGCUAGGGUGAGUUUGAAGCACAUGAUGAAGACAUGGACAGAACUUGAUCAGGGAUUUCUGAUUGAGUGUGGAUCUUUGGAAGGUGGAAUGGCAUUUGCAGCGAUGUAUGGGGUUGAUGAAGUGCCUACCACUCAUGAGUCUAUUCCAGCCGUGUUAGCUAAGAAUGAAGAUGUUUUUGAUUGGCCUGGAGAGUUGCCACCACAAUGUACCAUUGAACAUCAUAUACAUCUUAAGAAGGGGACUAAUCCAGUCAAUGUUCGGCCUUAUAGAUAUGCAUACCAGCAAAAGGAGGAGAUGGAAAGAUUGGUUGAUGAAAUGAUGGCAUUUGGCAUAAAAACCUAGUACUAGUCCAUAUUCGAGCCCGGUCUUGUUGGUGAAAAAAAAAUGGUAGUUGACGGUUUUGUGUAGAUUACCGUGCGUUGAAUAGUGUGACCGUUCCAGACAAGUUUCCUAUUCCAGUAGUAGAGGAAUUGUUUGAUGAACUUAAUGGGGCUAAUAUAUUUUCGAAGAUUGAUCUCAAGGCGGGAUAUCAUCAAAUUAGAAUGUGUAAAAAGGAUGUGAAGAAAACAGCUUUUAGAACUCACGAGGGGCAUUAUGAGUUUCUUGUCAUGCCUUUUGGGCUCACCAAUGCACCAUCAACGUUUCAAGCUUUGAUGAAUAGUAUCUUUAAACCUUACCUACGCAGGUUUUCUUAGUCUUUUUUGAUGAUAUAUUAAUUUACAGCAGAAGUUUGGAUGAAAAUCUUCAACAUUUAGAAUGGGUGUUAGAGGUGCUGCGAGAGAAUAAAUUAUAUGCUAAUAUGCAGCACAAGUGUGGGUUUGCCAAAAUGAAAGUGGAGUAUCUUGGCCAUAUAAUUUCGGGCAAGGGUGUAGAGGUUGAUCCCGAGAAAAUUAGAUCUAUCAAAGAAUGGCCCGUGCCCACUAAUGUCCGUGAAGUUCGUGGAUUUCUUGGGUUGACAGGAUAUUAUCGAAGAUUUGUAAUGAAUUAUGGAAGUGUGGCUGCUCCUUUGACUCAACUAUUGAAGAAAGGAGCAUAUGAAUGGACUGUUGCAGCUGCUGAAGCUUUUGAGAAUUUAAAGAUGGCUACGAUGACUCUCCCAAUCUUAGCACUGCCAGAUUUUUCCUUACCAUUUGAAAUAGAGACCGAUGCUUCUGGAUACGGGGUAGGUGCUGUCUUAAUUCAAAAUCAUCGGCCAAUUGCUUAUUUUAGCCAGACAUUAGCUAUGAGGGAUCGUGCUAAACCAGUUUAUGAACGGGAAUUAAUGGCUGUAGUUUUGGCUGUGCAACGCUGUAGACCUUAUCUUUUGGCAGGAGGUUUGUAGUGAAAACUGAUCAACGAUCAUUGAAACUUUUAUUGGAACAAAGGGUUAUCCAACCUCAACAUCAGAGAUGGAUUGCUAAGCUUCUUGGCUAUAAUUUUGAUGUCGUGUAUAAACCGGGACUAGAAAACAAAGCAGCAGAUGCCUUGUCUCGUGUCCCUCCUACUGCCCAACUUAAUCAACUUACUGUUGAGAUCAGUUAAAUUGGCAGUCCCCAACACUGAAGUUGACCCUAAAUUAGUCCCAGAAAUUAAUGGGAUGGAUCUGAAUGUCUUGUUCAAUGAUGAAGAUAUUCUCCCUAUUAAAAUUCCCCUGGAUUUGCCUAAAGAUUUAGUGUCUAUAGUCGGCGAUUGUGGAAUCAUUCUGGCUUAAAUUAGAUGUGCAACUGCCUUUUCCUCCUCCCAGUCAUUAUUAAGGUUGUCUCCUGGAACACUAAGGUUUGAACGACUCCUCUAAACGUGCAGCACUUAAAAAAUUCAUCAACAAUUGUAGUCAUGAUUCAAGAAUCUAAGAAGGAUACCUUGAACUCGGCUUUUAUAAAAUCAUUGUGGAGUUCUAAGGAUAUUGGCUGGGAUUAUGUGGCUUCUGUUGGAUCUUCUGGGGGAAUUCUUACCAUGUGGGACAGCAGUAAAAUAUCUGUAACAGAGGUCAUUAAAAGACGCUUCUCUUUGUCAAUCAAAUGCCUCACUUUGUGCAAAAAGGUUUGUUGGAUCACAAAUGUCUAUGGCCCUUGUGGUUGCAAAGAAAGGAAAUUGGUUUGGCCCGAAUUGUCUUCCUUAGCUGAUUGUUCGGCCGUGGCCUGGUGCAUAGGUGGGAAUUUUAAUAUCACUCGUUGGGCCCGGAAAGAUUUCCUUUUGGCAGAAGUACUAGAGGAAUGUCAUUAUUCAAUAAGUUUAUUGACAUGGUUUCUCUCAUGGAAAUUCCAUUGCAAAAUGGAAGGUUCACUUGGUCUAGAGACGGUAGUUCUCCUUGAAGAUCAUUAUUAGACACAUUCUUCAUAAAUCAGAUGUGGGAUGUUUGUUUUGAAAAUUCUCGGGUUUCUCGAAAAGCACGCAUCUUCUCGGAUCACUUUCCUUUAUUCUUGGAGGCUGGUUCUUUUCUUUGGGGUCCCUCUCCUUUUCGGUUUUGUAACAGCUGGUUGGUGUCCAGUGAUUCUAAUCAGAUUAUUGUUGAAACAGUGAGCAACUCUAACUUCCAGGGAUGGGCUGGUUUCAUUCUUCAUGAGCAGUUGAGAUCAGUUAAAUUGGCAGUAAAAGCUUGGAAUAUUGCUGCGCAAGCUAAGGUAAAAAAAAAAACAGAGAAAUCCUUGAUGUCAAAAUUAGAAAAAUAUGAUUUUGUGGCUGAGUUGAUUGGAUUAAAUCAAGAAGAGUUGAAUUCUAGAGCUGCUUUGCAAGCGGAAUUACUUAGUAUUUAUCAAAAUGAAGAGCGUAAUUUUAUUCAGAAGAGUAAACUCAAUUGGCUUUCUUUGGGUGAUGAGAAUACGGGCUUCUUCCACCGCUUUCUAAAUGCGAAUAAAAGAAGGAACCUCAUAACUGAAUUAAAAGAUGAUGAUGGGGUUGUCUCGACUUCAUUCCGCGACAUUGAAAGGCUUGUGCUGGAAUUUUUUGAGUCACUUUAUACCAGAAUUCGGGGGACAGAUUCAUCCCUAUUAACAGUAAUUGGUCUUGUGUUUCCUCAAUUCAGAAUGAGGCUCUUGUUACCCAGUUUUCAGUGGAGGAGAUCUUUAAGGCAUUAAAGGCACUUGGCAACAAUAAAGCUCCGGGCCCGGAUGGCUUCACAGUGAAGUUCCUAAUCACCCAAUGGUCUAUUUUCAAGGAUAUCUUCAAAUCACUAAUGUCUGAUUUCCACAGAAAUGGAAGAUUAAAUGCUUGCAUCCAAGAAAACUUCAUUUGUUUAGUGCAGAAAAAAGAGAAUGUGACUCUAGUCAAGGAUUUCCGUCCAAUCAGCCUUACUACGUUAGCAUACAAGGUCGUCGCAAAGGUUUUAUCUGAACGUCUAAAACAAGUUAUGGAUGCAAUUAUAAGCCCCACUCAAAGCGCCUUUAUUGAAGGUAGGCAAAUUCUUGACCCAAUAUUAAUUGCUAACGAGGCCGUGGAAGAUUAUAGGGCAAAACGGAAAAAAGGAUGGAUUUUAAAACUUGACUUGGAAAAAGCCUUUGAUAGGGUGAAUUGGAACUUUUUAGAAAAAAAUUUAUCUUUGAAAAAGUUUAGUUCCAAAUGGAUAUCAUGGAUAAUGGGCUGCCUAAAAAAUCCAAAGUAUUCAUCUUCAAUGGUAAGCCUAGAGGCCGGAUAACAGCAUCUAGAGGUAUCCGCCAAGGGGACCCCCUCUCCCCCUUUUUAUUCCUCCUAGUAAGUGAGGUUUUAGGAGAAAUCAUAAACAAGCUUCAUAUUAACAGCCAGUUUGAAGGUUUCCUUGUUGGCAAAGACUUGAUCCACCUCCCUUUGCUUCAAUUUGUCGAUGAUACUCUUCUCUUUUGUAAGUAUGAUGUGAAGAUGCUCCUUAAACUUUAAAACGUCAUUAGAUUAUUCGAAUGGUGUUCGGGGCAGAAAGUAAACUGGGAAAAAUCAGCCCUUAGCGGCGUUAAUGUGGGAGAGGAAGAUUUGUUUCAAACAGCAAAUCUGAUAGGGUGCAAGGUAGAAAAGCUUCCGAUUAUAUAUUUAGGUCUCCCUUUGGGAGGCUACCCUCGACAAAAGUCUUUUUGGCAACCAGUCAUUGAUCGAAUUCACAAGAAACUUGAAAGGUGGAAAAGAUAUAACAUCUCUAGAGGCGGAAGACAAACCUUAUGCAACUCAGUUCUGGUUAGCCUUCCUACAUACUACCUACUUUAUUUUCUAUACCUGAAAAUGUGGCUGCCUCUUUGUUAAAGUGAGUUUUUGGAGUGAAGGAAAAUGUCUGCAAUACUGCUUGAAAGACAGGGGAAGCAGAAGAUUGGUGUUCUAUAUUCUGGUUUGCUUAUUAGUAUUUUGUUGUUCGGAAUUUUGGAUUAGGAGGUUUUCUUUGUUUGAUGUUUGUGAAUUAUAUGUAACGUGACUCAUUUUCUGAGGUUCACGGUUUGCUUAUGUUGUAAGUUGUGUUUGAAUUAUCAAUAUAAUAGAAACACUACAUCAGUGUUCUAUCAGGAUGUCAUCCUUGGAAUGCAAUGGCUGCACACGUUGGGGUAACUGAAGUGGAUUAGCGGAAACUCACUUUAUCUUUCAUACAAAAUGAAAAGAAUGUUGUUAUAAGGGGUGACCCGAGUUUGACAAAGACUAGAGUGAGUCUGUAACACAUGAUGGAGACAUGGACACCAUCUGAUUAAGGUUUCUUGACAAAAUGUCGAGCUAUGGAGGGAGGAAUGACAUUUACCGAACUAUAUGGAAUUGAUGAUGUUCCUACAUUUCAAGAGUUACUACCAGCAGACAAUUUUGGCUAUCCUAAAAAUCCAGCAACAAAGAAGUGGGAAGUGCUUGUUAGUUGGAAAGGAAUACCACCUCAUGAGGCUACAUGGGAGAACUGUGAUGAUUUUACACAAAAGCUUCCUCAUUUCCCACCUUGAGAACAAGGUGUCUUUGGAGAGGGAGAGUAAUGAUAGACCACCAAUUGCAAUACAAUAUAGCAGAAGAAAGACAAGUGGAAUUGCACGUGCACAGGUGAUGGAAUUGGAGGAAGUGGAAACCACCUUAGUGGGGACAACAGUUAGUUACAGGGGGAGGUUAAAAGGGAGAGAUGGAAGGAAAGAUGGGGGUUGGUUAAUCAGUUUCUGGAAGUGGAGGGGCUGUAUUUUCUGGAGAGCAGAAUUACAGAAGUUGUUCAGUUACUUUAAUCUUAGAAAGUGUUUUCCAUUAUCCUAAACUACUUUUGAUGUUUGAAUGUUUUAUUUUAUACUUGGUUAUUGUCUGUAAUAGUACUUGUUUGUUCGGUGUUUUCAAGACUGGUUUGAGUAUUGUAUUCUGUAAUAGUUUGGUUGCUUAAUGAACAAAUAAGAACCAUUACUUGGUGUUCUAUCAGCUUCUCAAUCAAGCAUACACAUCUCAAUAAGGUAUUAUACAUGCAAUCAAACAAUCACAACAUACAUACCAUUUACUCAAAACGACCUAAAACAUGCUCAAAACGACCUAAAACGUGCUCAAAACGUGUCUAACUUUCACUGCAACUUUCAAAACGACCUAAAACAGCUUACGUGCAGGUUCGUAACUCAUAACCUACGAAAAAAGUUCAAAUAUUGUGAAAAAAGCACUACAAGACCCAAAAUGGCAACCAAGUGUGUAAGUGCAACAAACUUAGUUCAAACCAACCUAAAACGUGCUCAAAACGUGUCUAGGUAUUACUUGAGUUUUCAAAACGACCUAGCAAAUCCUAAGGGUAAGUUCGUAACUCAUAAUCUACCGAAAAGGUUGAAAAAAGCAUUUCAAGACCAAAAAUGACAACCAUGUGUGUAAGUGCAACAAACUCAAUCUAACCUAAAAUGUAUUCAAAACGUGUGUAAGUAUCACUUGAAUUUUCAAAACGACCCAGCAAUGCUUAAGUGUAAGUUUGUAACUCACAACCUACCAAAAUUUCAAAAAGUGUGAAAAAAGUACUUCAAGACCCAACAUGUCAAUCAAAUGUGUUUAAAACUUAGUGUCAAACCAACCUAAAACGAGUUCAAAACGUGUCUAAGUAUCACUUGAACUUUCAAAACGACCUAAAAAAGCUUACGUGUAGGUUCGUAACUCAUAACCUACGAAAAAAGUUCAAAUAGAGUGAAAAAAGCACUACAAGACCCAAAAUGGCAACCAAGUGUGUAAGUGCAACAAACUUAGUUCAAACCAACCUAAAACAUGCUCAAAACGUGUCUAGGUAUUACUUGAGUUUUCAAAACGACUAGCAAAUCCUAAGUGUAAGUUUAACUCAUAAUCUACCAAAAAGGUUGAAAAAAGCAUUUCAAGACCAAAAAUGACAACCAAGUGCAACAAACUCAAUCUAACCUAAAAUGUAUUCAAAACGUGUGUAAGUAUCACUUGAAUUUUCAAAACGACCAAGCAAUGCUUCAGUGUAAGUUUGUAACUCACAACCUACCAAAAUUUCAAAAAGUAUGAAAAAAGUACUUCAAGACCCAACAUGUCAAUCAAAUGUGUGUAAAACUUAGUUUCAAACCAACCUAAAACGAGUUCAAAACGUGUCUAAGUUUCACUUGAACUUUCAAAACGACCUAACAAAUAUUCAAUACAAGUUCAUAAGUCAUAACCUAGAAAAAGUUCAAAAUUUUGAAAAAGACACUCCAAAACCCAAAAUGUCAAGUGUGUAAGUGCAACGAACUUAGUUCUAUACAAACCUAACAAGUAUUCAAAACACGUAUAAGUUUUCGAACACACCUAACAACGCUUAAGUGUAAGUUUAUAACUCAUAACUUACCAAAAAUUUCAAAAAGUGUGAAAAAAAAUCUUUCAAGACUCAAAAUGGAAACCAUGGCUGUAUGCAAAACUAACUUAGUUUGUAACAACCUAAAAGGUGUUCAAAAAAUGUUUAAGUAUCACUCGAACUUUAAAAACGCCUAAUAAUGCUUUAGUGUUACUUCAUAACUCAUAACCUACCAAAAAGUUCAAAAAAUGUAGAAAAAGCACUCCAAAAUCCAAAAUGGCAACCAAGUGUGUAAGUGCAACAAACUUAGUCUCAACUUUAAAAUUAGUGCGAGUUGGGAAAUGUAUUAACUCAAGCAUGAUGUACAAACUUGAAACGACUUAAAUAUUUAUUCACCAUCACAUAAAAACAGUAAUUAAAUAUAGAUAACAUGUGUAAAUAAAGGGAGAAUCACCUUUCUAGCAGUAGCUUUAGAGUAAGACCAAACACCAUCCUCCUACUUGUAAAUCUGCUCGAUUGUCUACUUUGUUCUACACUCGUCAUUUCACCGUCUCAGGCCAUCCAUUGAAUUGGCCACCCAGCCUUGGCAUACAAGAGUAUGUCUCAGCCUGUUAACAAAUACCACUAAAACUAAGCAAGACUAAGAAAAAAGUUUUCAAAAAAUUACCUAACUUUUAGGUCUUCAUGUGACUUUUAAGUUCUUCUGUCUUCUCCUUCAACUCUUUGACAGAUUGCUGAAAUUAUGUGUUUCUGCAAUGUUUACCAGAACAUGAAAGAUUCAUUACGAACAUAAAUACCAUGAAUACAGAGCAUGAAGAAAUAGUAAAACAGUCAAUACAAGAAGAAAAAAGUUCACUUGAAAACGACCUAAAACAGUAUCACUUGAACAAAAUGUGUCUAAGUAUCACUUGAACUUUCAAAACGACCUAAAACAGCUUACGUGUAGGUUCGUAACUCAUAACCUACGAAAAAAGUUCAAAUAGAGUGAAAAAAGCACUACAAGACCCAAAAUGGUAACCAAGUGUGUAAGUGCAACAAACUUAGUUCAAACCAACCUAAAACGUGCUCAAAACGUGUCUAGGUAUUACUUGAGUUUUCAAAAACGACCUAGCAAAUCCUAAAUGUAGGUUUGUAACUCAUAAUCUACCAAAAAGGUUGAAAAAAGCAUUUCAAGACCAAAAAUGACAACCAAGUGCAACAAACUCAAUCUAACCUAAAAUGUAUUCAAAACGUGUGUACGUAUCACUUAAACUUUCAAAACGACCAAACAAUGCUUAAGUGUAAGUUUGUAACUCACAACCUACCAAAAUUUCAAAAAGUGUAAAAAAAGCACUUCAAGACCCAAAACGGCAACGAAGUAUGUAAGUGCAACGGACUUAGUUUCAAGCCAUCCUAAAAAGAGUGCAAAACGUGUCUAAGAUUUCAAACCGACCAAACAAUACUCAAGCGUAAGUUCGUAACUCACAACCUAAAAAAAUUUCAAAAAGUGUGAAAAAAAGUACUUCAAGACCCAACAUUUCAAUCAAAUGUGUAAGUGCAACAAACUUAGUUUCAAACCAAUGCAAAAUGUGUUUAAAACGACCUAACAAUCCUUAAGUGUAAGCUCGUAACUCACAAACUAACAAAAAAAUCAAAAUGCGUGAAAAAUGCACUUUGAGACCUAACAUGGCAACCAAGUAUGCAAGUGAAACAAACUUAGUCUUAAACAAAUCUAAAAAAUUUCAAACCGUGUUUAAGUAUCACUUGAACUUUCAGAACGACCUAAGAAUGUUUAUUUGUAAGUUCGUCACUCAUAACCUACCAAAAAGUUCAAGAAGUAUGGAAAAAAAGGAAACACUACACGACCCAAAAUGGCAACCAAGUGCGCAACUGCAACAAAAUUAGUUCCAAACCAACCUAAAAAGUGGUCAAGGCGUGUCUAAGUAUCACUUGGACUUUCAAAACAACCUAACAAAAUUUAAGUGUAAGUUGGUAACCCAUAGCCUACCAAAAAGUUCAAAAAGUGUGAAAACGGCACUUCAAGACCGAAAAUGGCAACCAAUUGGAUAAGGUCAACAAACUUAGUUUCAAACCAACCUAAACCGAGUUAAAAACGUGUCUAAGUAUCACUUGAACUUUUAAAACGACCUAAAACAGCUUACGUGUAGGUUCGUAACUCAUAACCUACGAAAAAAGUUCAAAUAUUGUGCAAAAAGCACUACAAGACCCAAAAUGGCAACCAAGUGUGUAAGUGCAACAAACUUAGUUCAAACCAACCUAAAAUGUGCUCAAAACGUGUCUAGGUAUUACUUGAGUUUUCAAAACGACCUAGCAAAUCCUAAGUGUAAGUUUGAAACUCAUAAUCUACCAAAAAGGUUGAAAAAAGCAUUUCAAGACCAAAAAUGACAACCAAGUGCAACAAACUCAAUCUAACCUAAAAUGUAUUCAAAACGUGUGUACGUAUCACUUAAACUUUCAAAACGACCAAACAAUGCUUAAGUGUAAGUUUGUAACUCACAACCUACCAAAAUUUCAAAAAGUGUAAAAAAAGCACUUCAAGACCCAAAACGGCAACGAAGUAUGUAAGUGCAACGGACUUAGUUUCAAGCCAUCCUAAAAAGAGUGCAAAACGUGUCUAAGAUUUCAAACCGACCAAACAAUACUCAAGCGUAAGUUCGUAACUCACAACCUAAAAAAAUUUCAAAAAGUGUGAAAAAAAGUACUUCAAGACCCAACAUUUCAAUCAAAUGUGUAAGUGCAACAAACUUAGUUUCAAACCAAUGCAAAAUGUGUUUAAAACGACCUAACAAUCCUUAAGUGUAAGCUCGUAACUCACAAACUAACAAAAAAAUCAAAAUGCGUGAAAAAUGCACUUUGAGACCUAACAUGGCAACCAAGUAUGCAAGUGAAACAAACUUAGUCUUAAACAAAUCUACCAAAAUUUCAAAAAGUAUGAAAAAAGUACUUCAAGACCCAACAUGUCAAUCAAAUUUGUGUAAAACUUAGUUUCAAACCAACCUAAAACGAGUUCAAAACGUGUCUAAGUUUCACUUGAACUUUCAAAACGACCUAACAAAUAUUCAAUACAAGUUCAUAAGUCAUAACCUAGAAAAAAGUUCAAAAUAUUUGAAAAAGACACUCCAAAACCCAAAAUGUCAAGUGUGUAAGUGCAACGAACUUAGUUCUAUACAAACCUAACAAGUAUUCAAAAGACGUAUUAGUUUUCGAACACCCUAGCAACGCUUAAGUGUAAGUUUAUAACUCAUAACUUACCAAAAAUUUCAAAAAGUGUGAAAAAAAAUCUUUCAAGACUCAAAAUGGAAACCAUGGCUGUAUGCAAAACUAACUUAGUUUGUAACAACCUAAAAGGUGUUCAAAAAAUGUUUUAAGUAUCACUCGAACUUUAAAAACGACCUAAUAAUGCUUUAGUGUUACUUCAUAACUCAUAACCUACCAAAAAGUUCAAAAAAUGUAGAAAAAGCACUCCAAAAUCCAAAAUGGCAACCAAGUGUGUAAGUGCAACAAGCUUAGUCUCAACUUUAAAAUUAGUGCGAGUUGGGAAAUGUAUUAACUCAAGCAUGAUGUACAAACUUGAAACGACUUAAAUAUUUAUUCACCAUCACAUAAAAACAGUAAUUAAAUAUAGAUAACAUGUGUAAAUAAAGGGAGAAUCACCUUUCUAAGCAGUAACUUUAGAGUAAGACCGAAACACCAUCCUCCUACUUGUAAAUCUGCUCGAUUGUCUACUUUGUUCUACACUCGUCAUUUCACCGUCUCAGGCCAUCCAUUGAAUUGGCCACCCAGCCUUGGCAUACAAGAGUAUGUCUCAGCCUGUUAACAAAUACCACUAAAACUAAGCAAGACAAAGAAAAAAGUUUUCAAAAAAUUACCUAACUUUUAGGUCUUCAUGUGACCUUUAAGUUCUUCUGUCUUCUCCUUCAACUCUUUGACAGAUUGCUGAAAUUAUGUGUUUCUGAAAUGUUUACCAGAACAUGAAAGAUUCAUUACGAACAUAAAUACCAUGAAUACAGAGCAUGAAGAAAUAGUAAAACAGUCAAUACAAGAAGAAAAAAGUUCACUUGAAAACGACCUAAAACAGUAUCACUUGAACAAAAUGUGUCUAAGUAUCACUUGAACUUUCAAAACGACCUAAAACAGCUUACGUGUAGGUUCGUAACUCAUAACUACGAAAAAGUUCAAAUAGAAUGAAAAAGCACUACAAGACCCAAAAUGGUAACCAAGUGUGUAAGUGCAACAAACUUAGUUCAAACCAACCUAAAACGUGCUCAAAACGUGUCUAGGUAUUACUUGAGUUUUCAAAACGACCUAGCAAAUCCUAAAUGUAGGUUGUAACUCAUAAUCUACCAAAAAGGUUGAAAAAAGCAUUUCAAGACAAAAAAUGACAACCAAGUGCAACAAACUCAAUCUAACCUAAAAUGUAUUCAAAACGUGUGUACGUAUCACUUAAACUUUCAAAACGACCAAACAAUGCUUAAGUGUAAGUUUGUAACUCACAACCUACCAAAAUUUCAAAAAGUGUAAAAAAGCACUUCAAGACCAAAACGGCAACGAAGUAUGUAAGUGCAACGGACUUAGUUUCAAGCCAUCCUAAAAGAGUGCAAAACUGUCUAAGAUUUCAAACCGACCAAACAAUACUCAAGCGUAAGUUCGUAACUCACAACCUAAAAAAAUUUCAAAAAGUGUGAAAAAAAGUACUUCAAGACCCAACAUUUCAAUCAAAUGUGUAAGUGCAACAAACUUAGUUUUCAAACCAAUGCAAAAUGUGUUUAAAACGACCUAACAAUCCUUAAGUGUAAGCUCGUAACUCACAAACUAACAAAAAAAUCAAAAUGCGUGAAAAAUGCACUUUGAGACCUAACAUGGCAACCAAGUAUGCAAGUGAAACAAACUUAGUCUUAAACAAAUCUAAAAAAAUUUCAAACCGUGUUUAAGUAUCACUUGAACUUUCAGAACGACCUAAGAAUGUUUAUUUGUAAGUUCGUCACUCAUAACCUACACAAAAGUUCAAGAAGUAUGGAAAAAAAGGAAACACUACACGACCCAAAAUGGCAACCAAGUGCGCAACUGCAACAAAAAUAGUUCCAAACCAACCUAAAAAGUGGUCAAGGCGUGUCUAAGUAUCACUUGGACUUUCAAAACAACCUAACAAAAUUUAAGUGUAAGUUGGUAACCCAUAGCCUACCAAAAAGUUUAAAAAGUGUGAAAACGGCACUUCAAGACCGAAAAUGGCAACCAAUUGGAUAAGGUCAACAAACUUAGUUUCAAACCAACCUAAACGAGUUAAAACGUGUCUAAGUAUCACUUGAACUUUUUAAAAUGUCCUAAAACAGCUUACGUGUAGGUUCGUAACUCAUAACCUACGAAAAAAGUUCAAAUAUUGUGCAAAAAGCACUACAAGACCCAAAAUGGCAACCAAGUGUGUAAGUGCAACAAACUUAGUUCAAACCAACCUAAAAUGUGCUCAAAACGUGUCUAGGUAUUACUUGAGUUUUCAAAACGACCUAACAAAUCCUAAGUGUAAGUUUGAAACUCAUAAUCUACCAAAAAGGUUGAAAAAAGCAUUUCAAGACCAAAAAUGACAACCAAGUGCAACAAACUCAAUCUAACCUAAAAUGUAUUCAAAACGUGUGUACGUAUCACUUGAAUUUUCAAAACGACCCAGCAAUGCUUAAGUGUAAGUUUGUAACUCACAACCUACCAAAAUUUCAAAAAGUGUGAAAAAAGUACUUCAAGACCCAACAUGUCAAUCAAAUGUGUUUAAAACUUAGUGUCAAACCAACCUAAAAAACAUAACACAUCACACUAAAAAACAUAAGUGUAAAGUGAAAGUUAUGAACAGAAGCAACUCUUUUUACCCUUGAAAACAAAACACAUCACACUAAAAAACAUAAACAUCACUUUAACCCAACAGAAGCAACUCUUUUUACCCUUGCACUCACUAUCACAUUACUAUCAUGUUUGUCAACUGUCAAACUAACUCUUUUAAGUUAUUUCGUGUGACUACAAAGUUAUGAACACCAUAAUCUUAAUUAAAACCUUUUAAUAAAUAAAUGCGAAGUUACUACUCAAGAAUGGCAAGGAAUUCAAAAACAUGACAGCUAUCCUAUUGGUUGAAAAUGAGAAAAAAAAGUUAGCCAGACAACCUGUUUGGACUACAAGCAGCAGAUAUGAUUCCUCAAUAUUUGACCAUUCACUCUCCUCUCUACAAGUCUUCAAGCACAUGAUGUUGCCUACUUUCAGAUGAGCAACAUCAUUCCGAUCUUAACAGUCAGAAGAGCAAAUCAAAUCAAUCCUAGCAUAUUCACAAAUCACAACUAAAAAGUACAAAAACAUUACAAAAUAAAAACAUGCAGCGAUAUCAACAAGCAUUGAAUAAAUAAUUAGCCAAUUAAUUGACAUUACAAAAUAAAUAAAGCAUUCUGAUAUUUUCUUAUUUGUGCGCAGCCGAUGUUCACAAAACAGCGUUUCGAACCCACGAGGGCCCUAUGAAUUCCUUGUGAUGCUGUUUGGGUUGAACGCUCGGCAACAUUCCAAUCAAUCAUGAGUGAUGUUCUUCGCCAUAUUUACGCAAGUUUGUUUUGGUUUUCUUUGAUGACAUCUUAAUUUACAGCAAGUCCUUGGACGAGCAUUUGCACCAAUUGGCAAUGGUUUUGGAAACUCUAGUAGCUCAUCAACUGGUAGCCAACUUUAAAAAAUGCCAAUUUGCGGUUGACAAAAUUGAAUACUUGGGCCAUGUUAUUUCUUCAGAGGGGGUGGCAGCGGAUCCAACAAAAAUAGAAGCGAUGGUUAAAUGGCCAGCACCAAGAACGUGAAGGAGCUAGGUGGUUUUUUGGGGCUAACGGGGUAUUAUCGGAAAUUCGUUGCAAACUACGGUUCUAUUUGCUGCCCCCUUGACACAACUGUUAAGGUAACUUUAAGUGGAUGAGACGACCGAGAACGCAUUUCAGCAGUUAAAAGUCAGCAAUGAUGUCUGUCCGAUGCUAGGUAUUCCUGAUUUUUCACAAAGUUUUGUGCCAGAAACUGAUUUGGGUGUGGGUAUUGGGGCUGUCCUAAUGCAAAAUCAACGACCAGUGGCCUUUUUCAGUCAAGCUUUACCUAUUACCCAUAGGUUUAAGGCUGUUUAUGAACGGGAGCUUAUGGCAAUAGUGCUGGCUGUUCAAAAAUGACCAUAUCUAUUGGUAAGCCUUUUUGUGGUGCGUACAGAUCAGAAAAGUUUGAAGUUUUUCUUGAACAACGGGCUAUCGGGGGAGAAUAUCAGAGAUGGAUCGCUAAACUAUUGGGGUAUGAUUUUGUGAUUGAGUACAAGAAAGGAUUGGAAAACAAAGCGGCCGAUGCCUUAUAGAGAUUACCACCGGUAUUUGAAUUGGGCCUCGUAAGUAUUGUGGGCGGGCUAAACCUUCGUUUUCAUCGAUCAAGUGGCUGGAAAUGAAUCUCUUAACAAUAUUCGAUUGUCCUUGAUAAAUGGACAGCCAGCUCCAGAUGGAUAUUUGCUACAAGGAGGAGGAUUCACCUAAUAUUACUUUAUAUUUGAGUUCCAUAACAGCCCGAUAGGGGGACAUCAUGGUGCAUUGAAAACAUAUCAAAGGCUAGCAAGGGAGGUCUAUUGAGGUAUAGCCCAUAUCCGCACCUAUGUUGCUGAAUGUUCCGUGUGUCAGCAAGCCAAAUACUUGUCUUUAACUCCGGCUGGUUUCCUUCAAGCAUUACCCAUUCCGGACCGUGUGUGGGAAGAUAUUAGUAUGGAUUUUAUUGAGGGCCUCCACAAAUCCGAGCGUUAUGAUGUUAUAUUGGUAGUUGCGGAUCGUCUUUCCAAGUAUGCACAUUUCAUUCCCUUGAAACAUCCAUUUGGUGCAAAAGUGGUUGUUGCUGCUGUUUUUAUGCGAGAGAUUAUUCGUUUGCAUGGAUGCCCCCGAAGUAUAGUGUCGGAUCGUGAUCGUAUUUUCACAAGUCUAUUCUGGGAAGAGUUGUGGAGGUUGUUGGAAACUCAGUUGAGACGAAGCACCACUUACCACCCCCAAACGGAUGGUCAAACAGAAGUUGUCAAUCGAGGGGUGGAGACGUAUCUACGGUGUUUUGCUAUGAACACACCUAAACAGUGGGUUAAAUGGCUAGCUUGGGUUGAAUUGAGCUAUAAUACAACAGUCCGUACAGCCAUAUUGAUGACCCCCUUCGAGGCCCUCUAUGGGCGACCCCCUCUAUAUUACCGUAUGUGAAGGGCUCGAGUCGGUGUGAAUGAAGUAGACCAUUUGAUGAAAGAAAGAGAUGAAAUUUUGGGUGUUUUGAAGGCCAAUUUACUGAAAGCACAGCAGCGAAUGGUCAAAUAUGCUAAUGCUAAAAGACAGGAGGUUCUGUUUAAGGUUCAUGAUUGGGUUUAUGUGAAGUUACGCCCUUACCAACAGUCCUCUCUCAGCCGUUUUAAGCACCCCAAAUUGGCCCCAAGAUUCAUUGGUCCAUUUAUGAUCGUGGCACGAAUUGGUUUCGUUGCAUACCGUUUGGCCUUUCCCAAGGAAUCGCUUAUACACCCAUCUUUCAUGUUUCUGUUCUUCGCAAGGUGUGAGUUCAAACAGGCCAUUAUUCCCAAUUCCAAAAGAUUUGGCUGCUGAUUUGUCUAUGCAAGUGUCUCCAGUAGAAGUAUUGGGAGUUCGCAAAACAAUAGAAAAGGAGGACAACUUAGAAGUUUUGAUCCGUUGGAGUGAGGGGACACUUGAAAGUGCAACAUGGGAACAAGCUGCUCUUAUUCAAGAACAGUUUCCUGAAUUCCACCUUGAGGACAAGGUGGCUCUUUGGGGGGCGGAUAAUGAUAGACCUCCCAUAGUAAACGUGUAUUCCCGUAGAGACAAGAAUAGGAAGAAGAAAGAAUGAUUGAGAGUUAGUUGGUAUUUUUCUAUUUGUGUGGGCCCUUAGGAAUGUGUUUGUUAGAGUGGGGCCAAGUAUUUUGUUAUUUCUCUGAGCAAUUACUUAAGUGUCUUGAGUGGGAGGGUAUGGGUAUCUUUUUGGACAUAUGAUGGAAUUAAAGAGCUCACCUGUCUUAAAAUAACGAUCAGGCAUCUGAUGUCCUUUAACGAUAGUGGCUUCUCCUGCUCAUAAAACUCCUCAUUGUCAAUUAUUAUGAGCAUGUGCCUGAUUGAUAAGGAAAGAAGUGAUCAGGACAUGCCGAAUCUUAUAACAUACCAUAUAAUUAUAUAACAUCAGAUGAGGAAUUAAAGCGAAAUUCAAAAGUAGAGGAACAGGAAUAAAGAAGAUAAUCUUACUUGUACACAGGACAAAAAACAGCCAAAGGUAAUAGCCAACCAGGUGCAUCUCCUGAUAAAUAUGCCAAUUUCUCUGAAAAGGAUGACCAUUUUUUAUUCUCGUGGCACUUUUUAAUAAAACUCCAGAGUACUGGAACUAACUCCAUUCUGUAUGCUAGAAUAGUCAUAAUUUUUUAUGUCCCACACCAAGUUGUACUUAAAAAGAUCUUUUCAAAAAAAAUCUAUAGAGUUUUUUUUUCUUUUUUAAAUGAAGUACAUGCAUGUUAUGUUUCUCGUUAUUGAGAAAACAUGACCUUUAAACCAUUACUAACGCCAUUAUAUCCAAACAGCAAGGUACACAAACCUAGUAGAGGAUGACACAUGCAACUUUGUCCAUUGGGUAGAGAGAGGUGUGAAAUGUGAAUGUCCGCCACAGUAAAGAGUAAGAAUUUGAGAGGAGAAACUCCAAUUGGGAUGUGGGCAACAACAUGGCUUCUUACCAACAUGAGAACUCAAAAGAGACAGCAGAUGUUCUAGAGAAGCCAAUGAACUCUUGGAAUGUGAAUCUGCACUUUCCUGCAAUAGUUUGAGUGUGAAUUAGUUCUCUGAAAACACCUGCAGAGGAUAAUCCACGGCAAAACAGAAUGUCUAUAAAAAAAACCACUUGCAAGUAGAAAAAAAAGGAAGUACAUUUAUACCUUCCCUGUCAAAGUGAUAUCCCUAAUCAACGCAUAUGCAUUUCUUUCCAGGAAGUAACCAACAAUUUUACAAACCCAUGGGAGUUCAGGUUGUAAUAAGAAAAUAAUUGUGUCUAACAAUAGAGUUGCAGGUGUGUUAGAGUUCACAGGUGCAGCCAAAAGUUGAUUCCUCAAUUGGUUUCUAUCAAGAACAACAUCAAGUAAGAAUAAUUCAGAGGAAAAAUAAAGACAACUUAUCAUAUAUAUAAAUAAGAUUAGUCUGAAUUCGUUAGCUGAAGGUAAAAAAACCUUUAUGUCAAUUAUAUAUAUCUGAACAAAAUCUAAGAAAUAUAUCACUUUUCAACAAAAGAAAUAUAUCAUAUACAAUUAAAGGAUCAUAGCAUAGAAAGCCAACAAAAUCAACAAUGAUAGAUCAAACAUCUGUUUUUCCAUUCAAAACGUUAAAAAGGAUAAGUUUUUAAUAAGGAAUGUUGAAAUGGAAAAAACUAAUUACCUAUUAUGGUGUACAGUCUGGAUGCAAGCAUAUGCAAAUUUCUUAACUCUCUAAUCCACUAAGGCCUUGUUAAGUACAUAAUCCUUGCUAGCGAAAAUGCUCAACAUAUCCCCUAUAUAUGUAAGAGAGAGAAAGGUAAGAAAGUACUAACACUAAGAGAUAUGUGCUAUCAAUUAGAACACUUUAAGAUGAUAUUAUCAAUUAGAAAACCAAGCAUAAAGCAACAUAAGGGAAAAUAACAAACAAGGGCACCACAGUGGUUCAGAAACCAAUCAAUAUUUUCAUUUGUCACUUUUAUAAUAAUUUCCCAAGGGAAAAUCCUCAUAACAAGCCUCGUUUUCCCCCUACUAUGGAACGGGGAGGAUUCCUCCUCUUUUCAAAGCCCUCGUCAAACUCAAUGCUAAGUUUGACUGCUCCCUUCGGAGUGACAACAAGCCUUGUUUUCCCCCUAAUGUGGAUCGGGGAGGAUUCCUCCUCUUUUCAAAGCCCUCAUCAAACUCGAUGCUAAGUUUAGAACGCUAAGAGUAGGUGGUUUGGUUUUGGUUAGGCCAAAAGUAAAGUUUUCUGCUAAAAGCUCUGAUAGUUAGGGAACUCAACACAUUCUACUUGACCGAACCAAGUUGGAUCUUUGUUUUUUUAUGGGAUUUUUCUAAUGUAUAUUGCAUGUGUUGUUUGUUUUUUAUAGCUCUUGAUUGUCUAACCUUUUUACGUUUUGCAUUUGCAGUCUCUCUUUUGUUUCUUUGGUAUGCAAUGUGGUAACAAGGUCUUGCUAGAACCGGUGGGCUAACCUUUCUAUGGUUCUAAACUUAGUUUCUAAGUUUGACUGCUCCCUUCGGAGUGACAACAAGCCUCGUUUUCCCCCUACUAUGGAACGGGGAGGAUUCCUCCUCUUUUCAAAGCCCUCGUCAAACUCAAUGCUAAGUUUGACUGCUCCCUUCGGAGUGACAACAAGCCUUGUUUUCCCCCUAAUGUGGAUCGGGGAGGAUUCCUCCUCUUUUCAAAGCCCUCAUCAAACUCGAUGCUAAGUUUAGAACGCUAAGAGUAGGUGGUUUGGUUUUGGUUAGGCCAAAAGUAAAGUUUUCUGCUAAAAGCUCUGAUAGUUAGGGAACUCAACACAUUCUACUUGACCGAACCAAGUUGGCUCUUUGUUUUUUUAUGGGAUUUUUCUAAUGUAUAUUGCAUGUGUUGUUUGUUUUUUUAUAGCUCUUGAUUGUCUAACCUUUUUACGUUUUGCAUUUGCAGUCUCUCUUUUGUUUCUUUGGUAUGCAAUGUGGUAACAAGGUCUUGCUAGAACCGGUGGGCUAACCUUUCUAUGGUUCUAAACUUAGUUUCUAAGUUUGACUGCUCCCUUCGGAGUGACAACAAGCCUCGUUUUCCCCCUACUAUGGAACGGGGAGGAUUCCUCCUCUUUUCAAAGCCCUCGUCAAACUCAAUGCUAAGUUUGACUGCUCCCUUCGGAGUGACAACAAGCCUUGUUUUCCCCCUAAUGUGGAUCGGGGAGGAUUCCUCCUCUUUUCAAAGCCCUCAUCAAACUCGAUGCUAAGUUUAGAACGCUAAGAGUAGGUGGUUUGGUUUUGGUUAGGCCAAAAGUAAAGUUUUCUGCUAAAAGCUCUGAUAGUUAGGGAACUCAACACAUUCUACUUGACCGAACCAAGUUGGCUCUUUGUUUUUUUAUGGGAUUUUUCUAAUGUAUAUUGCAUGUUUGUUUGUUUUUUUAUAGCUCUUGAUUGUCUCACCUUUUUACGUUUUGCAUUUGCAAGUCUCUCUUUGUUUUUUUGGUAUGCAAUGUGGUAACAAGGUCUUGCUAGAACCGGUGGGCUAACCUUUCUAUGGUUCUAAACUUAGUUUCUAAGUUUGACUGCUCCCUUCGGAGUGACAACAAGCCUCGUUUUCCCCCUACUAUGGAACGGGGAGGAUUCCUCCUCUUUUCAAAGCCCUCGUCAAACUCAAUGCUAAGUUUGACUGCUCCCUUCGGAGUGACAACAAGCCUUGUUUUCCCCCUAAUGUGGAUCGGGGAGGAUUCCUCCUCUUUUCAAAGCCCUCAUCAAACUCGAUGCUAAGUUUAGAACGCUAAGAGUAGGUGGUUUGGUUUUGGUUAGGCCAAAAGUAAAGUUUUCUGCUAAAAGCUCUGAUAGUUAGGGAACUCAACACAUUCUACUUGACCGAACCAAGUUGGAUCUUUGUUUUUUUAUGGGAUUUUUCUAAUGUAUAUUGCAUGUGUUGUUUGUUUUUUUAUAGCUCUUGAUUGUCUAACCUUUUUACGUUUUGCAUUUGCAGUCUCUCUUUUGUUUCUUUGGUAUGCAAUGUGGUAACAAGGUCUUGCUAGAACCGGUGGGCUAACCUUUCUAUGGUUCUAAACUUAGUUUCUAAGUUUGACUGCUCCCUUCGGAGUGACAACAAGCCUCGUUUUCCCCCUACUAUGGAACGGGGAGGAUUCCUCCUCUUUUCAAAGCCCUCGUCAAACUCAAUGCUAAGUUUGACUGCUCCCUUCGGAGUGACAACAAGCCUUGUUUUCCCCCUAAUGUGGAUCGGGGAGGAUUCCUCCUCUUUUCAAAGCCCUCAUCAAACUCGAUGCUAAGUUUAGAACGCUAAGAGUAGGUGGUUUGGUUUUGGUUAGGCCAAAAGUAAAGUUUUCUGCUAAAAGCUCUGAUAGUUAGGGAACUCAACACAUUCUACUUGACCGAACCAAGUUGGAUCUUUGCUUUUUUAUGGGAUUUUUCUAAUGUAUAUUGCAUGUGUUGUUUGUUUUUUUAUAGCUCUGAUUGUCUAACCUUUUUACGUUUUGCAUUUGCAUGUCUCUCUUUUGUUUCUUUGGUAUGCAAUGUGGUAACAAGGUCUUGCUAGAACCGGUGGGCUAACCUUUCUAUGGUUCUAAACUUAGUUUCUAAGUUUGACUGCUCCCUUCGGAGUGACAACAAGCCUCGUUUUCCCCCUACUAUGGAACGGGGAGGAUUCCUCCUCUUUUCAAAGCCCUCGUCAAACUCAAUGCUAAGUUUGACUGCUCCCUUCGGAGUGACAACAAGCCUUGUUUUCCCCCUAAUGUGGAUCGGGGAGGAUUCCUCCUCUUUUCAAAGCCCUCAUCAAACUCGAUGCUAAGUUUAGAACGCUAAGAGUAGGUGGUUUGGUUUUGGUUAGGCCAAAAGUAAAGUUUUCUGCUAAAAGCUCUGAUAGUUAGGGAACUCAACACAUUCUACUUGACCGAACCAAGUUGGAUCUUUGUUUUUUUAUGGGAUUUUUCUAAUGUAUAUUGCAUGUGUUGUUUGUUUUUUUAUAGCUCUUGAUUGUCUAACCUUUUUACGUUUUGCAUUUGCAGUCUCUCUUUUGUUUCUUUGGUAUGCAAUGUGGUAACAAGGUCUUGCUAGAACCGGUGGGCUAACCUUUCUAUGGUUCUAAACUUAGUUUCUAAGUUUGACUGCUCCCUUCGGAGUGACAACAAGCCUCGUUUUCCCCCUACUAUGGAACGGGAGGAUUCCUCCUCUUUUCAAAGCCCUCGUCAAACUCAAUGCUAAGUUUGACUGCUCCCUUCGGAGUGACAACAAGCCUUGUUUUCCCCCUAAUGUGGAUCGGGGAGGAUUCCUCCUCUUUUCAAAGCCCUCAUCAAACUCGAUGCUAAGUUUAGAACGCUAAGAGUAGGUGGUUUGGUUUUGGUUAGGCCAAAAGUAAAGUUUUCUGCUAAAAGCUCUGAUAGUUAGGGAACUCAACACAUUCUACUUGACCGAACCAAGUUGGAUCUUUGUUUUUUAUGGGAUUUUUCUAAUGUAUAUUACAUGUGUUGUUUGUUUUUUUAUAGCUCUUGAUUGUCUAACCUUUUUCCGUUUUGCAUUUGCAAGUCUCUCUUUUGUUUCUUGGUAUGCAAUGUGGUAACAAGGUCUUGCUAGAACCGGUGGGCUAACCUUUCUAUGGUUCUAAACUUAGUUUCUAAGUUUGACUGCUCCCUUCGGAGUGACAACAAGCCUCGUUUUCCCCCUACUAUGGAACGGGGAGGAUUCCUCCUCUUUUCAAAGCCCUCGUCAAACUCAAUGCUAAGUUUGACUGCUCCCUUCGGAGUGACAACAAGCCUUGUUUUCCCCCUAAUGUGGAUCGGGGAGGAUUCCUCCUCUUUUCAAAGCCCUCAUCAAACUCGAUGCUAAGUUUAGAACGCUAAGAGUAGGUGGUUUGGUUUUGGUUAGGCCAAAAGUAAAGUUUUCUGCUAAAAGCUCUGAUAGUUAGGGAACUCAACACAUUCUACUUGACCGAACCAAGUUGGAUCUUUGCUUUUUUAUGGGAUUUUUCUAAUGUAUAUUGCAUGUGUUGUUUGUUUUUUUAUAGCUCUUGAUUGUCUAACCUUUUUACGUUUUGCAUUUGCAGUCUCUCUUUUGUUUCUUUGGUAUGCAAUGUGGUAACAAGGUCUUGCUAGAACCGGUGGGCUAACCUUUCUAUGGUUCUAAACUUAGUUUCUAAGUUUGACUGCUCCCUUCGGAGGGACAACAAGCCUCGUUUUCCCCCUACUAUGGAACGGGGAGGAUUCCUCCUCUUUUCAAAGCCCUCGUCAAACUAAAUGCUAAGUUUGACUGCUCCCUUCGGAGUGACAACAAGCCUUGUUUUCCCCCUAAUGUGGAUCGGGGAGGAUUCCUCCUCUUUUCAAAGCCCUCAUCAAACUCGAUGCUAAGUUUAGAACGCUAAGAGUAGGUGGUUUGGUUUUGGUUAGGCCAAAAGUAAAGUUUUCUGCUAAAAGCUCUGAUAGUUAGGGAACUCAACACAUUCUACUUGACCGAACCAAGUUGGAUCUUUGCUUUUUUAUGGGAUUUUUCUAAUGUAUAUUGCAUGUGUUGUUUGUUUUUUUAUAGCUCUUGAUUGUCUAACCUUUUUACGUUUUGCAUUUGCAGUCUCUCUUUUGUUUCUUUGGUAUGCAAUGUGGUAACAAGGUCUUGCUAGAACCGGUGGGCUAACCUUUCUAUGGUUCUAAACUUAGUUUCUAAGUUUGACUGCUCCCUUCGGAGUGACAACAAGCCUCGUUUUCCCCUACUAUGGAACGGGGAGGAUUCCUCCUCUUUUCAAAGCCCUCGUCAAACUCAAUGCUAAGUUUGACUGCUCCCUUCGGAGUGACAACAAGCCUUGUUUUCCCCCUAAUGUGGAUCGGGGAGGAUUCCUCCUCUUUUCAAAGCCCUCAUCAAACUCGAUGCUAAGUUUAGAACGCUAAGAGUAGGUGGUUUGGUUUUGGUUAGGCCAAAAGUAAAGUUUUCUGCUAAAAGCUCUGAUAGUUAGGGAACUCAACACAUUCUACUUGACCGAACCAAGUUGGAUCUUUGCUUUUUUAUGGGAUUUUUCUAAUGUAUAUUGCAUGUGUUGUUUGUUUUUUUAUAGCUCUUGAUUGUCUAACCUUUUUACGUUUUGCAUUUGCAAGUCUCUCUUUUGUUUCUUUGGUAUGCAAUGUGGUAACAAGGUCUUGCUAGAACCGGUGGGCUAACCUUUCUAUGGUUCUAAACUUAGUUUCUAAGUUUGACUGCUCCCUUCGGAGUGACAACAAGCCUCGUUUUCCCCCUACUAUGGAACGGGAGGAUUCCUCCUCUUUUCAAAGCCCUCGUCAAACUCAAUGCUAAGUUUGACUGCUCCCUUCGGAGUGACAACAAGCCUUGUUUUCCCCCUAAUGUGGAUCGGGGAGGAUUCCUCCUCUUUUCAAAGCCCUCAUCAAACUCGAUGCUAAGUUUAGAACGCUAAGAGUAGGUGGUUUGGUUUUGGUUAGGCCAAAAGUAAAGUUUUCUGCUAAAAGCUCUGAUAGUUAGGGAACUCAACACAUUCUACUUGACCGAACCAAGUUGGAUCUUUGCUUUUUUAUGGGAUUUUUCUAAUGUAUAUUGCAUGUGUGUUUGUUUUUUUAUAGCUCUUGAUUGUCUAACCUUUUUACGUUUUGCAUUUGCAGUCUCUUUUUGUUUCUUUGGUAUGCAAUGUGGUAACAAGGUCUUGCUAGAACCGGUGGGCUAACCUUUCUAUGGUUCUAAACUUAGUUUCUAAGUUUGACUGCUCCCUUCGGAGUGACAACAAGCCUCGUUUUCCCCCUACUAUGGAACGGGGAGGAUUCCUCCUCUUUUCAAAGCCCUCGUCAAACUCAAUGCUAAGUUUGACUGCUCCCUUCGGAGUGACAACAAGCCUUGUUUUCCCCCUAAUGUGGAUCGGGGAGGAUUCCUCCUCUUUUCAAAGCCCUCAUCAAACUCGAUGCUAAGUUUAGAACGCUAAGAGUAGGUGGUUUGGUUUUGGUUAGGCCAAAAGUAAAGUUUUCUGCUAAAAGCUCUGAUAGUUAGGGAACUCAACACAUUCUACUUGACCGAACCAAGUUGCUCUUUGUUUUUUAUGGGAUUUUUCUAAUGUAUAUUGCAUGUGUGUUGUUUGUUUUUUUAUAGCUCUUGAUUGUCUAACCUUUUUACGUUUUGCAUUUGCAGUCUCUCUUUUGUUUCUUUGGUAUGCAAUGUGGUAACAAGGUCUUGCUAGAACCGGUGGGCUAACCUUUCUAUGGUUCUAAACUUAGUUUCUAAGUUUGACUGCUCCCUUCGGAGUGACAACAAGCCUCGUUUUCCCCCUACUAUGGAACGGGAGGAUUCCUCCUCUUUUCAAAGCCCUCGUCAAACUCAAUGCUAAGUUUGACUGCUCCCUUCGGAGUGACAACAAGCCUUGUUUUCCCCCUAAUGUGGAUCGGGGAGGAUUCCUCCUCUUUUCAAAGCCCUCAUCAAACUCGAUGCUAAGUUUAGAACGCUAAGAGUAGGUGGUUUGGUUUUGGUUAGGCCAAAAGUAAAGUUUUCUGCUAAAAGCUCUGAUAGUUAGGGAACUCAACACAUUCUACUUGACCGAACCAAGUUGGCUCUUUGCUUUUUUAUGGGAUUUUUCUAAUGUAUAUUGCAUGUGUUGUUUGUUUUUUUAUAGCUCUUGAUUGUCUAACCUUUUUACGUUUUGCAUUUGCAAGUCUCUCUUUUGUUUCUUUGGUAUGCAAUGUGGUAACAAGGUCUUGCUAGAACCGGUGGGCUAACCUUUCUAUGGUUCUAAACUUAGUUUCUAAGUUUGACUGCUCCCUUCGGAGUGACAACAAGCCUCGUUUUCCCCCUACUAUGGAACGGGGAGGAUUCCUCCUCUUUUCAAAGCCCUCGUCAAACUCAAUGCUAAGUUUGACUGCUCCCUUCGGAGUGACAACAAGCCUUGUUUUCCCCCUAAUGUGGAUCGGGGAGGAUUCCUCCUCUUUUCAAAGCCCUCAUCAAACUCGAUGCUAAGUUUAGAACGCUAAGAGUAGGUGGUUUGGUUUUGGUUAGGCCAAAAGUAAAGUUUUCUGCUAAAAGCUCUGAUAGUUAGGGAACUCAACACAUUCUACUUGACCGAACCAAGUUGGCUCUUUGUUUUUUUAUGGGAUUUUUCUAAUGUAUAUUGCAUGUGUUGUUUGUUUUUUUAUAGCUCUUGAUUGUCUAACCUUUUUACGUUUUGCAUUUGCAAGUCUCUCUUUUGUUUCUUUGGUAUGCAAUGUGGUAACAAGGUCUUGCUAGAACCGGUGGGCUAACCUUUCUAUGGUUCUAAACUUAGUUUCUAAGUUUGACUGCUCCUUCCUCGGAGUGACAACAAGCCUCGUUUUUCCCCCUACUAUGGAACGGGGAGGAUUCCUCCUCUUUUCAAAGCCCUCGUCAAACUCAAUGCUAAGUUUGACUGCUCCCUUCGGAGUGACAACAAGCCUUGUUUUCCCCCUAAUGUGGAUCGGGGAGGAUUCCUCCUCUUUUCAAAGCCCUCAUCAAACUCGAUGCUAAGUUUAGAACGCUAAGAGUAGGUGGUUUGGUUUUGGUUAGGCCAAAAGUAAAGUUUUCUGCUAAAAGCUCUGAUAGUUAGGGAACUCAACACAUUCUACUUGACCGAACCAAGUUGCUCUUUGUUUUUUAUGGGAUUUUUCUAAUGUAUAUUGCAUGUGUUGUUUGUUUUUUUAUAGCUCUUGAUUGUCUAACCUUUUUUACGUUUGCAUUUGCAGUCUCUCUUUUGUUUCUUUGGUAUGCAAUGUGGUAACAAGGUCUUGCUAGAACCGGUGGGCUAACCUUUCUAUGGUUCUAAACUUAGUUUCUAAGUUUGACUGCUCCCUUCGGAGUGACAACAAGCCUCGUUUUCCCCCUACUAUGGAACGGGGAGGAUUCCUCCUCUUUUCAAAGCCCUCGUCAAACUCAAUGCUAAGUUUGACUGCUCCCUUCGGAGUGACAACAAGCCUUGUUUUCCCCCUAAUGUGGAUCGGGGAGGAUUCCUCCUCUUUCAAAGCCCUCAUCAAACUCGAUGCUAAGUUUAGAACGCUAAGAGUAGGUGGUUUGGUUUUGGUUAGGCCAAAAGUAAAGUUUUCUGCUAAAAGCUCUGAUAGUUAGGGAACUCAACACAUUCUACUUGACCGAACCAAGUUGGCUCUUUGUUUUUUUAUGGGAUUUUUCUAAUGUAUAUUGCAUGUGUUGUUUGUUUUUUUUAUAGCUCUUGAUUGUCUAACCUUUUUACGUUUUGCAUUUGCAGUCUCUCUUUGUUUCUUUGGUAUGCAAUGUGGUAACAAGGUCUUGCUAGAACCGGUGGGCUAACCUUUCUAUGGUUCUAAACUUAGUUUCUAAGUUUGACUGCUCCCUUCGGAGUGACAACAAGCCUCGUUUUCCCCCUACUAUGGAACGGGGAGGAUUCCUCCUCUUUUCAAAGCCCUCGUCAAACUCAAUGCUAAGUUUGACUGCUCCCUUCGGAGUGACAACAAGCCUUGUUUUCCCCCUAAUGUGGAUCGGGGAGGAUUCCUCCUCUUUUCAAAGCCCUCAUCAAACUCGAUGCUAAGUUUAGAACGCUAAGAGUAGGUGGUUUGGUUUUGGUUAGGCCAAAAGUAAAGUUUUCUGCUAAAAGCUCUGAUAGUUAGGGAACUCAACACAUUCUAUCUUGACCGAACCAAGUUGGAUCUUUGUUUUUUAUGGAUUUUUCUAAUGUAUAUUGCAUGUGUUGUUUGUUUUUUUAUAGCUCUUGAUUGUCUAACCUUUUUACGUUUUGCAUUUGCAAGUCUCUCUUUUGUUUCUUUGGUAUGCAAUGUGGUAACAAGGUCUUGCUAGAACCGGUGGCUAACCUUUCUAUGGUUCUAAACUUAGUUUCUAAGUUUGACUGCUCCCUUCGGAGUGACAACAAGCCUCGUUUUCCCCCUACUAUGGAACGGGGAGGAUUCCUCCUCUUUUCAAAGCCCUCGUCAAACUCAAUGCUAAGUUUGACUGCUCCCUUCGGAGUGACAACAAGCCUUGUUUUCCCCCUAAUGUGGAUCGGGGAGGAUUCCUCCUCUUUUCAAAGCCCUCAUCAAACUCGAUGCUAAGUUUAGAACGCUAAGAGUAGGUGGUUUGGUUUUGGUUAGGCCAAAAGUAAAGUUUUCUGCUAAAAGCUUCUGAUAGUUAGGGAACUCAACACAUUCUACUUGACCGAACCAAGUUGGAUCUUUGUUUUUUUAUGGGAUUUUCUAAUGUAUAUUACAUGUGUUGUUUGUUUUUUUAUAGCUCUGAUUGUCUAACCUUUUUACUUUGCAUUUGCAUGUCUCUUUUUGUUUCUUUGGUAUGCAAUUGUGGUAACAAGGUCUUGCUAGACCGGUGGGCUAACCUUUCUUAUGGUUCUAAACUUAGUUUCUAAGUUUUGACUGCUCCCUUCGGAGUGACAACAAGCCUCGUUUUCCCCCUACUAUGGAACGGGGAGGAUUCCUCCUCUUUUCAAAGCCUCGUCAAACUCAAUGCUAAGUUUGACUGCUCCCUUCGGAGUGACAACAAGCCUUGUUUUCCCCCUAAUGUGGAUCGGGAGAUUCCUCCUCUUUUCAAAGCCCUCAUCAAACUCGAUGCUAAGUUUAGAACGCUAAGAGUAGGUGGUUUGGUUUUGGUUAGGCCAAAAGUAAAGUUUUCUGCUAAAAGCUCUGAUAGUUAGGGAACUCAACACUUCUACUUGACCGAACCAAGUUGGAUCUUUGCUUUUUUAUGGGAUUUUUCUAAUGUAUAUUGGUGUGUUGUUGUUUUUUAUGGUCUUGAUUGUCUAACCUUUUUAAGUUUUGCAUUUGCAUUCUCUCUUUUGUUUCUUUGGUAUGCAAUGUGGUAACAAGGUCUUGCUAGAACCGGUGCGGCUAACCUUUCUAUGGUUCUAAACUUAGUUUCUAAGUUUGACUGCUCCUUCGGAGUGACAACAAGCCUCGUUUUCCCCCUACUAUGGAACGGGGGAGGAUUCCUCCUCUUUUCAAAAGCCCUCGUCAAACUAAAUGCUAAGUUUGACUGCUCCCUUCGGAGUGACAACAAGCGUUGUUUUCCCCUAAUGUGGAUCGGGAGGAUUCCUCCUCUUUUUCAAAGCCCUCAUCAAACUCGAUGCUAAGUUUAGAACGCUAAGAGUAGGUGGUUUGGUUUUGGUUAGGCCAAAAGUAAAGUUUCUGCUAAAAGCUCUGAUAGUUAGGGAACUCAACACAUUCUACUUGACCGAACCAAGUUGGAUCUUUGCUUUUUAUGGAUUUUUCUAAUGUAUAUUGCAUGUGUUGUUUGUUUUUUAUAGCUCUUGAUUGUCUAACCUUUUUACGUUUUGCAUUUGCAUGUCUCUCUUUUUGUUUCUUUGGUAUGCAAUGUGGUAACAAGGUCUUGCUAGAACCGGUGGGCUAACCUUUCUAUGGUUCUAAACUUAGUUUCUAAGUUUGACUGCUCCCUUCGGAGUGACAACAAGCCUCGUUUUCCCCUACUAUGGAUACGGGGAGGAUUCCUCCUCUUUUCAAAGCCCUCGUCAAACUCAAUGCUAAGUUUGACUGCUCCCUUCGAGUGACAACAAGCCUUGUUUUCCCCCUAAUGUGGAUCGGGGAGGAUUCCUCCUCUUUCAAAGCCCUCAUCAAACUCGAUGCUAAGUUUAGAACGCUAAAGAGUAGGUGGUUUGUUUUGGUUAGGCCAAAAGUAAAGUUUUCUGCUAAAAGCUCUGAUAGUUAGGGACUCAACACAUUCUACUUGACCGAACCAAGUUGGAUCUUUGCUUUUUUAUGGGAUUUUUCUAAUGUAUAUUGCAUGUGUUAUUUGUUUUUUUAUAGCUCUUGAUUGUCUAACCUUUUUACGUUUUGCAUUUGCAAGUCUCUCUUUUGUUUCUUUGGUAUGCAAUGUGGUAACAAGGUCUUGCUAGAACCGGUGGGCUAACCCUUCUAUGGUUCUAAACUUAGUUUCUAAGUUUGACUGCUCCCUUCGGAGUGACAACAAGCCUUGUUUUCCCCCUAAUGUGGAUCGGGGAGGAUUCCUCCUCUUUUCAAAGCCCUCAUCAAACUCGAUGCUAAGUUUAGAACGCUAAGAGUAGGUGGUUUGGUUUUGGUUAGGCCAAAAGUAAAGUUUUCUGCUAAAAGCUCUGAUAGUUAGGGAACUCAACACAUUCUACUUGACCGAACCAAGUUGGCUCUUUUUUUUAUGGGAUUUUUCUAAUGUAUAUUGCAUGUGUUGUUUGUUUUUUUAUAGCUCUUGAUUGUCUCACCUUUUUACGUUUUGCAUUUGCAAGUCUCUCUUUUGUUUCUUUGGUAUGCAAUGUGGUAACAAGGUCUUGCUAGAACCGGUGGGCUAACCUUUCUAUGGUUCUAAACUUAGUUUCUAAGUUUGACUGCUCCCUUCGGAGUGACAACAAGCCUCGUUUUCCCCCUACUAUGGAACGGGGAGGAUUCCUCCUCUUUUCAAAGCCCUCGUCAAACUCAAUGCUAAGUUUGACUGCUCCCUUCGAAGUGACAACAAGCCUUGUUUUCCCCCUAAUGUGGAUCGGGGAGGACUCCUCCUCUUUUCAAAGCCCUCAUCAAACUCGAUGCUAUGUUUAGAACGCUAAGAGUAGAUAGUCUGGUUUUGGUUAGGCCAAAAGUGAAGUUUUCCCCCAUUUUUUAUGGGCUUUUUCUAAUGUAUAUUGGAUAUGUUGUUUGAUUUUUUUAUAGCUCUUGAUUGUCUUACUGUUUUAUGUUUUGCAUUGUCAAGUCUCUCUUUUCUUUCUUUGGUAUGCAAUGUGGUAACUAGGCCUUGCUAGAAUCGGUGGGCUAACCUUUCUAUGGUUCUACAUUUAGUUACUAAUUAAGUUUGAUUGCUCCCUUUGAAGUGACAAUAAGUUUUGUUAAUGUCGACCCUUUUCUAAAGGGAUUUAGUUCAUUGUGGCUAGACAAGAGGCUUCUAACUCAUGUUUGACAAGACAAAUUUGUUAAAACCAUCCCAGUUUCUAAAGAGAGCCUCCUAUCCUUUUUUACUCUAUCUAGGCUAGGUUUGGACUAAGUGCAUCAUAGGUAAGUCACGACAAAGCAACAAAGGAAGACAAAGCUAGAAAAGUAUCCAUGCACUUAUUUAUUAUACAUUCAAUCAAGCAUUCACAACACACAUACCAUUUUCUCAAUCAUGCAUUCACAUCUCAAUAAGAAAUAGCUAAAAGGAGCUUAAAACAAAAAAGACAGCAGCUUAUGCUCAAAUUGCAGCACAUAUACUCAUCAAAAUUCAGAAUUUCACAUCAUAAACCCGAGCUCAGUGCUCAAGGGUUGCCAAUCAUGCUUUUUAUGCAAGAUCUAAUUAAGCUAAGAAGGUAUAAUGCUCAUUAUUGUAUGGAAAGAAUUCUGAAAAAUUUUGAAAUUUGGGCAAAAUUUGAACCCCCAAGUUUACACUAAACAUGCAAGCUAAGCAAGCUAUUACCCACACCCACUCAAAAAAUUGCUUUUUCUGUCCUAAAAGCUUUUGAAAAUCAAAGUAAAUGGAGAAAAAUAAGGGGGAACUUUGGACUCCCCUGGAAGGAUCGACAUCCAUGACUUUGGUUUGAAGCUUGCAUGGAUAAACCUUUUCAUUCCUUUUUCAUUGAUUAUUCAUCCUUGUUCCUGAAAAUCAAAGGAAAUUCUCUCAAUUUUAUAUAUUACUAAAAUUAGGAUACAUAUAAGUCUUAACUAGUCUCAUAGCACCCUCCAUUCAUCUUCCCCUACACUGGCUAUGGUAUCAAAAUUUUCAAUUAAGUAAUACGUCUACUAACGAACUUGAAAACAAAACACAUCACACUAAAAAACACAAACAUCACUUUAACCCAACAGAAGCAACUCUUUUUACCCUUGCACUCACUAUCACAUUACUAUCAUGUUUGUCAACUGUCAAACUAACUCUUUUAAGUUAUUUAGUGUGACUACAAAGUUAUGAACACCAUAAUCUUAAUUAAAACCUUUUAAUAAAUAAAUGCGAAGUUACUACUCAAGAAUGGCAAGGAAUUCAAAAAACAUGACAGCUAUCCUAAUUGGUUGAAAAUGAGAAAAAGAAAGUUAGCCAGACAACCUGUUUGGACUACAAAGCCAGCAGAUAUGAUUCCUCAAAUUUGACCAUUCACUCUCCAUACUCUACAAGUCUUCAAGCACAUGAUGCUGCCUACUUUCAGAUGAGCAACAUCAUUCCGAUCUUAACAGUCAGAAGAGCAAAUCAAAUCAAUCCUAGCAUAUUCACAAAUCACAACUAAAAAGUACAAACAUUACAAAUAAAACAUGCAGCGAUAUCAACAAGCAUUCUGAUAAAUAAUUAGCCAAUUAAUUGACAUUACAAAAUAAAUAAAGAAAAACAAGCAUUCUGAUGAUAUUUUUCUAUUUGUGCGGGCAGCCGAUGUUCACAAAACAGCGUUUCGAACCCACGAGGGGCCCUAUGAAUUCCUUGUGAUGCUGUUUGGGUUGAAACGCUUCGGCAACAUUCCAAUCAAUCAUGAGUGAUGUUCUUCGCCCAUAUUUACGCAAGUUUGUUUUGGUUUUCUUUGAUGACAUCUUAAUUUACAGCAAGUCCUUGGACGAGCAUUUGCACCAAUUGGCAAUGGUUUUGGAAACUCUAGUAGCUCAUCAACUGGUAGCCAACUUUAAAAAAUGCCAAUUUGCGGUUGACAAAAUUGAAUACUUGGGCCAUGUUAUUUCUUCAGAGGGGGUGGCAGCGGAUCCAACAAAAAUAGAAGCGAUGGUUAAAUGGCCAGCACCCAAGAACGUGAAGGAGCUAGGUGGGUUUUUUGGGGCUAACGGGGUAUUAUCGGAAAUUCGUUGCAAACUACGGUUCUAUUGUGCUGCCCCCUUGACACAACUGUUAAAAAAGGUAACUUUAAGUGGAAUGAGACGACCGAGAACGCAUUUCAGCAGUUAAAAGUCAGCAAUGAUGUCUGUCCCGAUGCUAGGUAUUCCUGAUUUUUCACAAAGUUUUGUGCUGGAAACUGAUGCUUCGGGUGUGGGUAUUGGGGCUGUCCUAAUGCAAAAUCAACGACCAGUGGCCUUUUUCAGUCAAGCUUUACCUAUUACCCAUAGGUUUAAGGCUGUUUAUGAACGGGAGCUUAUGGCAAUAGUGCUGGCUGUUCAAAAAUGGCGACCAUAUCUAUUGGGUAAGCCUUUUGUGGUGCGUACAGAUCAGAAAAGUUUGAAGUUUCUUCUUGAACAACGGGCUAUCGGGGGAGAAUAUCAGAGAUGGAUCGCUAAACUAUUGGGGUAUGAUUUUGUGAUUGAGUACAAGAAAGGAUUGGAAAACAAAGCGGCCGAUGCCUUAUAGAGAUUACCACCGGUAUUUGAAUUGGGCCUCGUAAGUAUUGUGGGCGGGCUAAACCCUUCGGUUUUCAUCGAUCAAGUGGCUGGAAAUGAAUCUCUUAACAAUAUUCGAUUAUCCUUGAUAAAUGGACAGCCAGCUCCAGAUGGAUAUUUGCUACAAGGAGGAGGAUUCACCUAAUAUUACUUUAUUAUUAGCUGAGUUCCAUAACAGCCCGAUAGGGGGACAUCAUGGUGCAUUGAAAACAUAUCAAAGGCUAGCAAGGGAGGUAUAUUGGCGAGGUAUGAAAGCCCAUAUCCGCACCUAUGUUGCUGAAUGUUCCGUGUGUCAGCAAGCCAAAUACUUGUCUUUAACUCCGGCUGGUUUCCUUCAAGCAUUACCCAUUCCGGACCGUGUGUGGGAAGAUAUUAGUAUGGAUUUUAUUGAGGGCCUCCCCAAAUCCGAGGGUUAUGAUGUUAUAUUGGUAGUUGCGGAUCUUCUUUCCAAGUAUGCACAUUUCAUCCCCUUGAAACAUCCAUUUGGUGCAAAAGUGGUUGCUGCUGUUUUUAUGCGAGAGAUUAUUCGUUUGCAUGGAUGCCCCUGAAGUAUAGUGUCGGAUCGUGAUCGUAUUUUCACAAGUCUAUUAUGGGAAGAGUUGUGGAGGUUGUUGGAAACUCAGUUGAGAUGAAGCACCACUUACCACCCCCAAACAGAUGGUCAAACGGAAGUUGUCAAUCGAGGGGUGGAGACGUAUCUAGGGUGUUUUUCUAUGAACACACCUAAACAAUGGGUUAAAUGGCUAGCUUGGGCUGAAUUAAGCUAUAAUACAACAGUCCGUACAGCCACAUUGAUGACCCCCUUCGAGGCCCUCUAUGGGCAACCACCCCCCUCUAUAUUACCAUAUGUGAAGGGCUCGAGCCGGGUGAAUGAUGAAGUAGACCAUUUGAUGAAAGAAAGAGAUGAAAUUUUGGGCGUUUUGAAGGCCAAUUUACUGAAAGCACAGCAGCGAAUGGUCAAAUAUGCUAAUGCUAAAAGACGGGAGGUGCAGUUUGAGGUUCAUGAUUGGGUUUAUGUGAAGUUACGCCCUUACCGACAGUCCUCUCUCAGCCGUUUUAAGCACACCAAAUUAGCCCCAAGAUUCAUUGGUUCAUUUAUGAUCGUGGCACGAAUUCGUUUCGUUGCAUACCGUUUGGCCCUUCCCAAGGAAUCGCUUAUACACCCGGUCUUUCAUGUUUCUGUUCUUCGCAAGGUCGUGGGUUCAAACAGGCCAUUAUUCCCAAUUUCAAAAGAUUUGGCUGCUGAUUUGUCUAUGCAAGUGUCUCCGGUAGAAGUAUUGGGAGUUCGCAAAACAAUAGAAAAGGAGGACAACUUAGAAGUUUUGAUCCGUUCGAGUGAGGGGACACUUGAAAGUGCAACGUGGGAACAAGCUGCUCUUAUUCAAGAAACAGUUUCCUGAAUUCCACCUUGAGGACAAGGUGGCUAUUUGGGGGGCGGGUAAUGAUAGACCUCCCAUAGUAAAGGUGUAUUCCCGUAGAGACAAGAAUAGGAAGAAGAAAGAAUGAUUGAGAGUUAGUUGGUAUUUUUCUAUUUGUGUGGGCCCUUAGGAAUGUGUUUGUUAGAGUGGGGCCAAGUAUUUUGUUAUUUCUCUAAGCAAUUACUUAAGUUUCUUGAGUGGAAGGGUAUGGGUAUCUUGAUUUUGGUAUAGACUCUCAUUAGAGAAGUGUGUAGAGAUUGGGGAGCUCUCAAAUCCUCCCCCACAGUUGAUAAAUAAAAUUUUGGCUAAAGCCUUGACAAAAGCUAAUGUAGAACAUCCCCCUUCUUUAUGUUUCUUGAGUUUUAUCCUAGAGGAGGUGUUUGAAUUACCAUUUUUAUAGUUUAGGAUUAGUUAUUUGAAUUAACAAUUUUGUAUCUUGAGUUAGUUAUAAGUAAACUAACUCAACCCCAAGUUAGUUUAACAACUCUUGUAAUCUCCAGCCUAUAAAAAGGCUUCUCAUUUUCAUUAAUAAAUGAUAAAAAAAAAGGCAUUAUACAUAAAGAUUUCCUAGCUUUGCAAUUACAGCAUCAAAAGCAAUGUACAGUUCAGAUGAGACUUUAUUCCAGUAUAGAGUAGCUCUGUAAUUGCAGAUCAAGAAAGUGAAUGUAGCAUGGAAAUCCCAAAUUCAACAUUUGGAAGUUAGCAAUUGACAAUCUCAUUAGUAGGCAGUGCACCCAUAAUAAAAUGUAAGAUUUUUAGAACCCUAAAAAUUCAAGUAACUUGCAACUAGUCAUUGUCAUGACCAUCAAUACUACGAUUAGUGGAUCAGCACAAAAUACAAAACAGUAAGACAGUAAAUCUUUAAAAACCUUACUUCUGUUUUAACUUGCUCAAGAAGAAUGUUGCAAAAAGUAUAUCAACAAGAGUUCCUUCAAACAUGACCUACAGGAAGAAGGGUAAAACAACAACAUCCUGUCAAAAAUCAUUUAAUGUGAUUGAGAUCUUUUAGCAUGACUGCUUGAGAACUUUUAGCACAACCGGGCAGCAACUUCAAUAACAGAAAAACAUGCAUAAUGUAGGAAGACAGCAGAUUUCAAAUUAUGACAUUGUAUUUAUGAAUGUCAGGCGAUACAUUAAUGUUCCAAAAUUCAACCAAAGUAUGGGGUGAAAGAUAUAUAAGAAUCUUCCACGAUAAGGCCAAGACCAGGAUAUCCUUAUCCAAAAAAAGAAAAAACUAAUCAACCAAAGUAAAUUCCAUGUAUGAUUGGGAAUUAUGGCCAUACCUUUGCCAAAAGAACUUCGAGGAAAUGGAAAAACUGGAGAUGUUGCUCAUGUAUCAUUCCCGAACCAGGAUUGGGGUAGAGCAAAUGGUCAGCAAUUUGCUGGAUUACCAAGCAGAAAAUAACUUAUAUUAGAAAAAAUGAACAAUACAUACCCACAUAUUACUGAAAUUUUAUGAAAUAGAUUUCAAGCAACCAAUUUUUAUAUUGAAAUGUGAUCUCACAACUAUUUUUAUUUUGAAAAGCGAUUUCAAACAACUAUGGCUGUCUCAUCACGCUUCAUGUUAUCCAAUAAUACUACAGGAUUAACAAAGCCAUGCCAUGCUAAUAAUAAGGAAUGUCGUGAUAACCUUAAAUAAACCAUACUGCACGUCAAAGGCUGCCGUGUAAUGUUCUCCAUGACAUCUUUAAAAAUACCACCACCAUCAAUUCCUGCCUCCUCAACUCCAAAUUCAUUAACAAAAGACACACGUAUCUGCAUGCAGAAAAGUGAAGCAAUUGACCCAACACAAACAAGAAAAAACUAAUAAACAAUUACAAGUAACUCUGCAACUAUAGGAUGCAGAAGAGGGAAGGGGUCGUUUUCACGAGGGCAAAGAAAAAGAUAGAAAAAAGUAAGAUAACAAUUUCAUUUUUCAUAAAUCAUGGAAGUCUGAAAUUACCGAUCCUUGAAGAUCAACUUCAGACAAUGCACUCAUCUGACUGAAAGCAUCUUCCAAUAUAUGAUUUCGUCGAAUUCUAAACCGGUUUCUGGCAAAAACAGCAAGAGAUCCAUUCCUUUGCCUAGCUGCUGCUAGUUGUGUCUGUGAAAUGAGUUAUAGAGAAAGUAACCAUAAAUAAAAAAUAUCUUACAUAUUUCUAUAACUAACAGUCGUCCAAGAAAUUCAAUAUUGUGGAUAAGGAAACCAAAAAAAUAACUUGCUUACAGUGAAAAUCUUAACCCUGCUAGUAAACGGUACUAAAAAGGGAACUCGCUUGUGUAUAUCAUUUGCUCUGGUAUUUUCUAUCACUGCCUACAAAGAAACAAGGCCAAGUAAAUAAUUAGAAUUACGAUCAGAUAGCAGGUCGUUAGAACCAAAACAUUCAUUGAGAACAAUUACCUGUGAAAUGAAAUAAUCAUUCAUCGCGUCAGCAUGGAAGUCACUGGGUGGUGUAAACUGCCGUCUAUUGUUCCAGUCUUGCAACUACAACGAGACAAUUUAAUCUUAGUAGAUCGACAAAAUGAUGCAUGGAUAAACAAUCUUGGAACUUUGGACUCCCCUGGAAGGAUCGAUAUCCUUGACUUUGGUUUGAAGCUUGCAUGGAUAAACCUUUUCAUUCAUUUUUCAUUGAUUAUUCAUCAUUGUUCCUGAAAAUCAAAGGAAAUUCUCUCAAUUUUAUAUAUUACUAAAAUUAGGAUACAUAUAAGUCUUAACUAGUCUCAUAGCACCCUCCAUUCAUCUUCCCCUACACUGGCUAUGGUAUCAAAAUGCUCAAUUAAGUAAUACGUCUACUAACGAACUUGAAAACAAAACACAUCACACUAAAAAACACAAACAUCCCUUUAACCCAACAGAAGCAGCUCUUUUUACCCUUGCACUCACUAUCACAUUACUAUCAUGUUUGUCAACUGUCAAACUAACUCUUUUAAGUUAUUUAGUGUGACACUACAAAGUUAUGAACACCAUAAUCUUAAUUAAAACCUUUUAAUAAACAAAUGCAAGUUACUACUCAAGAAUGGCAAGGAAUUCAAAAAACAUGACAGCUAUCCUAAUUGGUUGAAAAUGAGAAAAAGAAAGUUAGCCAGACAACCUGUUUGGACUACAAAGCCAGCAGAUACGAUUCCUCAAAUUUGACCAUUCACUCUCCAUACUCCACAAGUCUUCAAGCACAUGAUGCUGCCUUCUUUCAGAUGAGCAACAUCAUUCCGAUCUUAACAGUCAGAAGAGCAAAUCAAAUCAAUCCUAGCAUAUUCACAAAUCACAACUAAAAAGUACAAACAUUACAAAAUAAAACAUGCAGCGAUAUCAACAAGCAUUCUGAUAAAUAAUUAGCCAACUAAUUGACAUUACAAAAUAAAUAAAGAAAAAAAUCAUUGGAAAGAUCACUGCUUAAAUGAAAUUUGAAAUAUCUCCCAAUAGUUUUGAUCGGUUACCCGAGUUGUGAGAGUGAUCGGUUGAUAUUGCGUGCUUCCUUCAAGCGCUCCCCAGCUGCACCUGUUAGCUUCUGCCUCCGGAACCAGCUACUUAAACCAUCUGCCAGUCUCUGCACAAUAAAAUGAUUAUGAGCCUAAAUUUUACAAGUACCAGUCCGUUGAAUAUAGAAACGUGAUACUCAUGCUUUUCCAUCCUAAACAACAGAACUAUCUGCACUUCGAUUUACAAAUUCAUUGCCUUUUUCCGACAGUGCUCACAACUGUUAGUUGUUACAGGUAUACUUCUUUUAUUUAUUUAUUUAUUUUUACUAAAUUCAGUAAUACCAUAUUCCAGAUAUUAGCAACAUUAUUUUAGCAUUACCUUGGAUCGGGAUUGCAGGUAAAAGCAGUAUGUGAUAGCGAACUCUCAGGAACGGUCGGGUUAGAAGAGGGAGGCCUAGGUGGAAGCGGGCUCUUCAGGAUUUGGAAUCGAAAACCGAUCUGACGGUGGAGAAUUUUCUUUGGAAGACUUGGGUUUCCGAGGGGGUCUGCGCCCUUGAUUUCGGCACCGUUAAGGCUAGAAGAAGAAGAAAGUGGUGGAUCGACGAGAUGGGUAUGUCGCAAGAUAGAGUUUCUUGGCUGCUUCACGUUAGAGAGGAAGAGCGAAAUUUUGGAGGUAUAGGAAGAGCGAAACGGAAUUUGAGAGAUAGGAAAUCGCAGGGUUUGAGGAAGACGAAGAAGAGAAGGGGAGAUGAGAGGCAGAGUAAACCGAUGGAGAAGAAAAAGGGGAAAGAAAUUUGAAAUAAAAGAGACCGUUGAGGUUGAAGAAGAGGGAAAAGAAAAUUGACCGUGGAGGAGAGUUAUUUAAUUUUUGGAUUAAAUAUUUUGUAUGAAAAUUAAAAAAGAAAAAGUUAAAAGGCAAAUAUUUUCUACUUUUUUUUAUUAUUUAUUCUAUGAAAAUUCAAUAAUAAAAAAGCAUCUAUAUUUGCUUUUGGUAUGGUUCACAUUUUUAUUUAUUUGACAAAAAUCUAACUAAAUUAUCAUUCAUUUUGACCUAAUAUUGCAAAUAUAAAUUUAUAUUUUGCAUCUUAACUACUCUUUGGCAUUUAUAAUAUCAUUGUUCCACACCUCAAUUUUUUUAUUGUUGUCAAAAAUAAACCUAAUCCAAAAUGAAUUAGCAAAUUAGGGAAUAAAUGUAAUCAUUGUUUUUGGGAGUUUGAGUUCGACCGUGAUUAUUGUUGAAUAAUUUUCACUUAGACAUGCACAUUUUGCUAUUUUAGCAAUUUAAAUUUAAAAUUUUCUUUUAUCAAAAGUAAACCUCUUGUUUUAAUGUUUUUCUGGUCAUCCCUUUUAAAUACAACUAAUGACAAAUGAAUAUAACAAUUAAGAAAUUCGUAGAUAUAUAACAACAUUUUAAACUAAUUGCUGCAGUUAUUUUAAAUCACAUAUGUCAUUCGCUUAUAAGCCAUAAGAGUCUAUUAACGAUAUAAAUCUAUCACAAAUAUAUUUUGCUACAUUUACAAUUUUUAAAAGAUAUUGUUAUAUACUUAAUUAUUAUUCAUAAAAUUGCUAAUCCAUUAUACUUACCCUAAGUUAAAUGAAUAAUGUCAAAAGUAAGUUUACUACGAAGGUAAUUUGUGUGACCCUUUUAUCCUAACGUAGGAAGUUUGUUCCACUCCAUACCAUUAUUGAACUAAGAAGAUUAAGUGUGUAUUAGUAUGUUUAAACAAGUAUAAUUAUAGCAAAAUCUAUGAGUGAUAUAUUUAUAUUAGCAAUACAAUAUGUGUUACAUAUGCAAAUAUUUUGUAUCUAAUCGUUGUAUUUGCAAUUAACUCCAUUCAAAUAUACAAAUAUAAACAUAACUCUUUAACCUGAGUUUAGCUAGGAUCACAAACUACAAAAAGAAAGUAUGGAACAUAUUUAAUUUGUUUUUUUUUCUUUGAAGAAAAUUUGGUGUGUAGCACAUUAUAUAUUUUUCUUUCCUUUAAAAAACAGUAUUGAUCUUAUAAUAUACGGCCUUGCACAAUGUAUUCACCAUAAAGAUCAUAUAAUUGUAGAGAUGUAUAGAAGGUCUGAUAAACAACAUAAACGAAAAGUUCUAAUCCUUGAAAUUGUAAACAUUACCCAUAUCCUACAAUAAAAGUCACAUCAACUUGAUAUUUGUUGAAAUUUAACAAAAAUGAAAAGAAAGCAACGAUAAACCAAUGACGAUGGAAGAAGAUACAGUUUUCAAACACAACCAGCUAUCCAAAUUAUUCAUAAUAUGGUAUUAGAAAAUAUAUUGCAAUUUGUAACCUCAUAAGUUUAUAAACAGAGUAAAAAUUAAAGGAAAUUUUUUUAUCAAGCUUAUAUUAGGACUUUAUACUACUUAUAUGUAAUUCUUAAGUUUUCUUCUUUUAGCUAUAAAAGACACAAAUUAAGAAAAAAAAUGACUUGAUUGUCCAUGUAAAGUUAUGCCCCAACUUUUUUCUUCUAACUUAAGAAAAGGAACACCAACAAAUAUCUAUCCCCAUAAACUAAAAAGCAUAGGAAAAUGAUAGUAAAAGUAAAAUCAACUUUUUCUGUUAUCUUUUUCCUUCAUUCAUUUACUUCUAAUUGAAAAUAAAUCAAAAGUCUAAAACCGAUCAAAUUAUUGAAAACGAAAAAACAAGAAACAUAACAGUGUGGAGAGGUAGUUAUUAUCAAGUAUUUGAUUUUGUUUAAUAGAUUCCAGUUGUGACAACCACAACAAUUGUAUGCAUGAAGUUCAUCAUUCAAACAGAUUCUGACAACAAAUUUCAACACAUCUGCAAGGCGAAAGAAGAUAGGAAUUAGGAUAACAAGGUAAUUAGAACACUGAAAUAAAUUUUAAAAAUAAUUUUAUUGCCGAUUGCUACUAUAAGCAUAAUUAUCUGCUUGUAUAGUUGUCUUGCAUGAUCUGACAAAUACAUUAUGGUAUUUGAUAUUCCAUUCAGGUUGUAUCUUGCAUGUUACCAACAAAAUCAUGUGCUUAGUGAUAAAUUACUCUUAGACUGAGAAAUACUCGAAAAAAAAUCAAGAGUAACAACUCUUAGUUUCCCAGAAAAAUUGAAACAAAAUCAUGACAAACCAACAACAAGAACUUCAUAAACUUGUCUGAUGAAAGCAACUCAAGAACGGUCUCAAUGCAGAUCAUACAUGAGUUCUUUGCUAAAUAUUUCCAAAGGCUAAAAAGAGUUAAGGAAAAAAAGAAAAACAAUAAUUACCUGUAAUUUUCGUUGGUUCAUGAUCUUCUCUUGUCAUUCCCUCACUUUAAUCUCAUAACUGAAAAGGAAAAGAGGAGGGAGGGGUGAUUAAACUCAUGCAUGUACAUAAUGUCGAAACCAGCAAAAUUACCACCCUAUUAACUAUGAAAGUCUGGUUGUGGUCGAAGUAGGGUGAAAGUCAGUGUAGAUUAGAAUAGAUGUCACCGUGAAGCUCACUGUCGGUUGGGGGAGAACAUAAAAAUUGAUUUUUUUCUUUUAUAACAGGCUGACUGACCUACAGGCUGGGGUGAACUGGCUGGCAAGGAGGAAGUGACAUGCUACCACUAGGUUGUGUUAGGUGUGAACAAUGGACAAUGGUGGCUAGAAGUGAGGGAAGGGCUUUGUCAAAGGGUCGUGCAGGGCUGAACUCCAACUGUCCAAUAUUAGUUUGUUCGGUUACUUUCUUUGUUUCACCCAUAUCAAUGUCUGCAAAAAUUCCCACAAUAUAUAGAAAUGGAAAUAAAGAUCCUUAAGUUCUUUGAGAAAAAUCAUAAAUAUAGCCACAAAAUUUCUCCAAUUAUUUGUUACUUAAAAAAGUAUAGAAAUUGUCAACCAAGCUCAACUAACGCCUGUAUGUAUGUACUUAGAACCAAGAGGUCUCGGGUUUAAAUCCCUCUACCCAAAAUUUGUCCUAAAUCUCAACUUUUUUACAAUCAAUCCUAAAACUCUUUUUCUACCCCAUUUUUGGCCUAUUUUUGGCAAUUCCCCAAUACUAUUAUAGUUGUAGAAUAAAAAAUUUUAGAUCAAUCACGCAUUAUCGUUGAAUUCAAGACUAAUUAAAAAUUGACAUGUGUCCCAAAUUAAAAUUGAAAAAAAAUAUAAAUUUGUUAAUUUGGAUGAUACACAUGUUUGGAUCAAAUUAAUUAUUUUAGUUUAAUUAAUAUUAUUUACUCGGUUAAGACUAAAAUUCAAUCGAGCCAAAAAAAUAAAUUUAAUUUAGCUCUGGUCCAUAAAUCAACCAGACUCAAGUUCAUAAAAGCCACUAAAGAACUCUAUAGAUACUGGAGUUCCCUUCAUUUGAAGAUACAAACUUUGUUUCAAGACUCCAACUUCAAGAACGUCACGUGCUCUCCUUCCUCAAAUCAAGCAUAAGCAUCUAAGUGAGAGAGAAUCAGGAGAUCAAAUGACUCAUUGCAUCAAAUCAACAUAAAUACAUUAUUAAUACAAGUUGGAGUUCACAAAUUAAAUUUCUCUAUAAAGAUCUCGUGUAAACCACAGUGAACCAAAAAGUGAUUAUAAACGAAAUAUUUCAUUAAUAAAUUCAAUCAAAUAAAAAACACAGGAAAAUUACAACUCUACUGAACUUGAGAUGAAUCCUCAAAAUUCUAAGUCUUUUCCUUGGACGAAUUCUCUAAUCGUCCGUCAACACACACUUUUGUGGGAUGAGAAAUUUUAGAGCUACUAUGCCUCCCUCAUAGGAACUUUUGUACUUAAGAUUAGCUACUGACUUGGAAUGUUGCGGAAGACCUAUGGAGUUGUUGUAAAAUGGCAGAAAUUGUGAGAAGAUGGUGAUGAAUUUGACUAUAGUUAGUUGUUCCCCGAAAUGGAAGACUUGCUAUAUAAUGUAUUAAUUGACUGUCUCGUUGUUGCUGUCCAUUGUUAUUUUGAUAAAAGGUUUGCAGAUGUAAAUAAUUUGUAAAUUUAUAGAUCUAAGAAUGUUAUCAUACACUUCAUAUUAGAUAAUAAAAAUCACUUGACAAUUUCUCAAACACCACACCGUCUACCGCCUCAAAGUUGAGUUAUUGAUCAUGGUCAAGACAAAGAAAAUAAGGAUUGAGACCACACUUGCGAAGAAGAAAAAUGUUGAGAGGAGAAAAAGAUCAUGCAUGCAAAUGGAAAAAAAAAAGAAAAGAGAAAGUAGGAACUUUGUUUAGGUUCAUCAAGAAGAUAAAUGGAUAUAAAGAAAUAACCAAAAUCAUAACUUGAAUUCUUUCUCAUAUUUGCAAUAGUAGAAAUCUGGAAGACACAUUUGCAAAAUAUCUCAACUUAUUUUGCUACCUAUUACAAUAUUCCUAAACUUAUUGUAAAUGUACACAAUUUUGUAUCUGUGAUCAGUUUCAAGAAUCUCUCCCUAGAGAGAAUAAGUUGCAUCUUCUAAAAGUACUUGCUAUGGCUCAACAUCAACAUACUUUAGGAAACUUUUCAAUAGUUAUUUACAUAAAAGAAAACUAGAAGGUAAAAUAGUAAUGAAUUUCUCCAACUGAAUUUUGUUCGAGUUACAAUAGUUGUAUGUUUAUGCGCAUCUAUAUAUAUAAUGCAAUAAUGUAAGACAACAUGAGCAUAAUGUAAUAUGGAGAGCUGGAGGAUCAAAUAAAAAUAUAAGAAAAUCAGAUUAUUAUCUUUAUGAUAAAAUAAUUAGUACAACAAAAAACAAAAUUAGACUUUACUAAUUGCAGAUCAAAAAUUGCAUCCGCGACGCUGGCAAAUCAGAGUUGCAUGGGAGUUGAAUCCUUAACAAUCUCAUAUAAUGAUAUAAUGUUUUCAAUGCUCAAUAGGCCAAUGAUGCACCAUUCCAAGAGAUCUGAUUUCCUAUUCUGGAGGACUUCUUGAAGAAAAUGAAUGUUAUGCUUCAAGGAAGGUGCAAAUUUAUUAGAGAAGAAUUAAACACUGUUCUAUCUCAAGAAAUAUCAUUUCCAUAAAAGUAAAAGAACCUCCUUCCAGUGAGUAUGAUAUAAGUGGAAGAAUCUAGGUUAAAGAUUUAAAUAAGGAAAUCACAAUGAGAAUGUUGAUUAUUUUUUCCUUAGCUCGGCUUUUGGAAAAGGAACACACACCACUCCCUGAUUUCAUUUGCAUUAUUUUGGGUCAGCUUCAGAAUACACAAACUUCAGAUGGACAGCACAAACACUUGGAAACAAUUUAGCAGAACCAAUUUCUUAAAGAAACAUUCUAAACUAAUUAAAUAAAGAGAGUCCUCAAAACUUCACUCCUUGAAGAACUAUGAAUUGAUUCUCCUACAAUAGUAGCUAGCUUUUGAUAGGACCACGUCCCUUCACCACGGAUUAGAAUAUUGAUGUCAAUAUUUUAAUUUUUUUUAUUCUUCUUCUUUAAAAAAAAUAAACAUUUAAUUCUUGAACAUUGGGAUCUAAAUGUCCAGGGAUAAUAAUGCUCAUACCCACGAAAUAAUAUCCACCAUCCAAACUGUUAAAUAAAAAAAUUCUUUUCCUAAAAUUCUACCGAAGCAGUAGGAAAAGUUGUUAUGUAACUUUUUCUAAAUAAGUGAAGAAAGAGUGGACAAGAAUAUGAUAAAACCAAUAAAAUUAAUCAGAAGCUCCUAGUAUCCAUUUGAUUUAAUACGUUCCAAUCCUUGAAUUUAAAGCCUUGUACAUGUGUGAAUAUUAUGCAUUAACGAUUUAACGAUUUUAAAAUGAAAUAAGAAUGAAGGAUUUAAAUUCAUUCACUUGUGAAAGUUGAGAGAUUUAGUUAAUACAACAUUUAGUAUAAAUUGGUUUUCUUUCCCUUAAAAAGAAUACUAAAGAAAAUACGAAAGUUUUCACGAGGUUACACGUCCUCUCAACACAUUUUCCAUUGCAUAUAACCAAAAAUAGAUAAUAUUGCUUUCAAGUUGGCUAUUGCCACGAUAUUUAAGAAGAACGUUCAAGAGAAGAGGCUCAACUAUACGGAAAAAACCACUUUGAAGGAAUGAAUGGAAUAGAAUGAAAUUACCUCCACAGACUUCAAUUUGAAAUCUAGAUUCCCAACGCGAUGGGUGACCUCGUACUCUUCCCGAAGGUACUCAUAUAUUUGAGCAUAUUUUGCAUCCCUCCACGCAAUUUCUGAUCUGAGUGGCAAAGGAAAAAGACAUAAAAGAGCACUAAGAUAACAAAAUUCUACCAAUUAAAGCAAUAUUAUGAUCGAAUUUUCUAUGCACGAAUAUUAAUAAUAAUAAGAAGGUAAGAAUGUAUAUAUUUUUGUUUACUUAUAUCAAGCUUGAAAGGCAAACUUUUCUAUGUUAUGAUCUUGGUUCUGUUAGGAUGUCAAAUACAUUUCUGAACAAUAGUACUAUCCUGGCGCCAAGUACUGCGAAAACCACAUAAGACGUAAUCCAAGCUUUAAAGAGGCUCUAGAUAAAAUAAAAAGCAAAAUGUAUUUGAUAGGCCACUGAUUAUACAUCAGUAUGCUCGCAGGGGCAAAAAGGGCAAAGAAGUAGUUAUUAUUGAGUUGGGAGAAUCAUCCAACAGUAAGAAUGAUUAUCUUGGGUAGUUUUGGGCAUUUAUCUUGACUAGUUUCAGUCUUCAGGUGGUUAGUAGUUGGUUAUGAAGGAAGUUAUGUUACCGUUGCUAUGUUAUGUGUUUAAAUAAGAAGUUAAGUUAGCAGAUGGGUAGACAGUCUUUUAGUUUGAAGUGUUUGGGUUUCUCUCGUGUGGGAGGAAUGGUCUAUGUAAUAGUAAAUUAUCUAUAAUAGAAGAACUUUACUUUAGUAACUAUCAUACUGGUAUAAGAGCCCUCAACCUGGGGAUGAUAGGAAAGGUGGCACAGAAGAAAAUUGAAGAACGGUUAGGCGUAACUGAUUUUGAAAUUGCCAGGAUUUAAGUAGAUGUUCAGAAGUUACCACAAAUUGAAGAAACGCUGCUUGCACUUGCUUAAGAUUGUUCAACGCUUUAUCCUUAUAGCACAGUUGGAACAACAACGAAGGAAUGCAGAUGACACUCAAACAUUAUUGGCUUCUCUAGUUUCUGGUGUUGGAUUGUCAGAUCGCCCUUCCAAUUCGGAAUCGAAUGAGGAAAUUAAGAAUACGACAGUGGCAAACACAGUGGAACCUAUUUAUGGCUAUAGGAGCAAUGCAUUCAGACAAUAAUGAGGGUGAACAGGAUCAUAGCAAAUUAAACAAGUUUGAGAUGUCAGUAUUCAAUGAAUCCGAUCGUUACUUACAAAUCCAUAAACUUACUGAUUCCAAAAAAUUAACAGUGACAGUCAUUAGCUUCAAAGCAGCGGAGCAUUAGCUUCGAAGCAGCGGCUCUCAAUUGGUACCAAGCCACAGACAAACGAGAACCAAUUUUGAAUUGGAAUGAUAUGAAACGAAGAUUGUUGAUCCGAUUUGGCUCAUCAUGCCAAGGUUCAGUUUGUGGGCAAUUUCUCAUAAUCAAGCAAGAAACAGUGGUGGAGGAAUAUUGCAGUCCGUUUUGAUAGGUUAGUGGCUCCUUUACUCCAACUACCUACCAAAAAAAUUAAAAAAAGAACGUGUCCUCUGCAUGUCGUGUCCUAUGCAUGUUGUAUCCUAUAUGUUAAAAAACUGGUGUGUCGUAUCUCGUGUCGGUGUUCGUGCUUCUUAGGUUUUGAAUUUAAAAACUCUUCUAAAUAAUUUUAAAAAAAGAUUUCCUAUUGUUCGGUUUUUCUCUGACUUACCAAUUAAAUUAUUUGGUUGCACUACUUAUGUUCAUAAUCCCAACUCUACUCGUACUUCACUUGAUCCUAAAGCUGUUAAAUGCAUUUUUGUAGGCUGUCUCCUAUAGGAAGGCUUACAAAUGUUUUGACACUUCGACUAAAAGGUAUUUUGAGAGUAUGGAUAUGUCUGUUUUUGGAAAAUCAACCUUUUUUUAGCCAAAAUUCUCUUUAGAGGGAGUCCCCAACCUUAAGAUAAUUUUUGGGACACUUAACCUAUCCCAAACACCAUUGAUUCCAAAGUUAUGAGCUAACUCUUGACGUCAAGUGUGGAGAGUUCUUCAGGGGGAGAACCACUAUAGACUGACUUGACAAGUAAAAACCUGAACUACAGCUUUAUAAUAAAAGAAACUUGACUCGAAGGAAUUGAGAAUGAUCUAUCACAAAACCAAACUAAUACCCCGAUAAAUGAUUAUGAAGAUCCAGGUAACAUACAUUCUCCUUUUACUUCGUCUAAUUCUCCCCGUUCUUCUCAUAAUUCCUUGUCUAAUGUCUCUGAUCUUGAUAUUACAAUUGCCAACAGGAAAGGUACCAGUAAAUUUGUCAAAUAUCUCAUUGCAAACUAUCUUUCUUAUCGUAAACUUUCACAAUCAUAAAGCCUUUACAUCCAAAAUAAUCAACCUGUUUGUUCCGAGGAAUAUACAAGAGGUCCCAAAUGAAUUGAAUUGGAAAUUAGCAGUGAUGGAAGAGAUGAAUUCUACAUGGGAUAUACUUGAACUACGAAAAGAAAAGAAAACAGUUGGAUGCAAGUGGAUGUUUACGCUAAAAUGUAAAGCUGAUGGUAGUGUCGAGAGGUACAAGGUUGGAUUGGUUGCUGAGGGGUUUACUCAAACCUAUGGAGUUGAUUAUCAAGAAACAUUUGCUACAGUUGUCAAAAUCAAUUCUAUUAGAAAUUUGUUGUCUGUUGUAGCUAACUUUGAUUGGCCUCUUUAUCAAUUGGAUGUUAAGAAUGUCUUUCUCAAUGGGGAACUGAAAGAAGAGGUAAUUAUGGACUUGCCACCUAGUUUUAAGGUAGAUCUCGGGAUUAACAAAGUUUGCAAGUUAAAGAGAUCAUUAUACGGUCUCAAACAGUCUCCUAGAGCUUGAUUUGAACGCUUGUAUAUUCCUUGGAACAAACAGUCUCCUAGAGCUUGAUUUGAACGCUUGUAUAUUCCUUGGAACAAACAGUCUCCUAGAGCUUGAUUUGAUUCGAGAAAGUAGUCACGGGCUAUGGAUUCAGUCAAAGCCAAGUCGAUCAUAUGAUAUUCUACAAACAUACAGGAAAUGACAAGGUUAUGAUUUUGAUAGUUUAAUUUGAUGAUAUCGUUCUUACAAGCAAUGAUGAGACAGAACAAACUUUCGUGAAGAAAAAGUUGGCAGAUGAUUUCCAGAUCAAGGACCUAGGAACUUUAAAGUACUUCCUAGGCAUGAAGUUUGCCAGGUCCAAAAGUGGCAUUCUUUUCAAACAAAGGAAGAAUAUUAUUGAUCUGUUAAAAGAGACAGGUUUACUUGGUUGCAAGGUAGCAGAAACUCCCAUUGAGCAGAAUUUGAAAUUGAAAGUUGCAACCAAGAAUGAGAUAAAGGAAAGAGAAAAGUACUAGAGACUUGUAGGAAGACUCAUAUAUCUUUCCCACACGUCCUAACAUUGCUUUUGCAAUUAGUAUCAAAAGUCAGUUCAUGCAUGCUCUUGGACCAACUCACUUUUAUGCCGUUUAUAGAAUAAAAUCCUAAGUAUUUGAAAGGUACUUGAGGAAAAGACACAUUGUUUCAAAGACAUGAUCAUCUAAUGUUAACGUUUACACUAAUACUAAUUGGGCAGGUUGCAUGACUGAGAUCUGGUUACUGCCCCUUCCUUGGAGGAAAUCUUGCUACUUGGCAAAGUAAAAAACAGAGUGCUGUUGCAAGAAGUAGUGCAGAAGCAGAAUUUAGAGCUUUAACCCAACGCAUUUGUGAGUGUAAAUGAAUAAGAUUGUUGGAAGAAUUGGGAUUCACUCAAACAAUGCUCAUGCAGUAUCACGGCAGCAAUUUCCAUUGCCCACAAUUCAGUCCUUUAUAACAAGACGUAACAUACUGAAGUCAAUAAACACUUUAUAAAGCAAAAGACCAAUGUGGGAGUAAUAUGCAUACCCUACCUUCCGACAACAGAACAAAUUGCAGAUGUGUUAACUAAAGGCCUUCCAAAGUGGCAAUUCAACAAACUGAUUGACAAGCUAGCAAUGACUGAUAUCUUCAAACCAGCUUGAGGGGAAAUGUUGAUUAUUUCCUUUAUUGUAUUAUAUUUUAUUGUGUUGGUUGUAUAAUAUUUGCCAAAUUUAUUUUUUCCUUUUUUGUAAUGAGUUGUUUUAUUUAAGUAAAAUCUUUCUAUUUGUGAAAUAAACAAGAAAUAUAUUAUUUUAGCAUAAAUCAAUGAAGUCUUAAUUCCAAGCGAUGUUUACUGGAUUUUGUUUGCCUCUUUAUUUGUUUUGAGGAUCUUUUUUCUUCUACUUUGUUUGCUUAUUGGUUUGUAUUUUGAGUAUAUCUCUUUUCAUUUCCCUACGUGAUGGGAAACUUGUUUUCAUUUCCUUAUGUGAUGGGAAACUUCCGCAAGGAAGUCUCUUACUGUGAGGAACCAGACUAUUCCUAUAUCUGCACAAUUCCGAGUAAACGAUGUAUAAGAAUGCUUAACGACAGAUGGUCUUCCUUUUUAAGAAUGUCCUGCGUUGUGGGUGGUCUCUUAUUCCGCCGCUUUCUAGAGCUAUGCGCGCUGCCAUUACCCCUUGGAUUGGCCAUGAGACAAACAUUUUAGUUUCUUCAUUGCAAGUCUCUUUGCAUUUCCUUAAUGAACAGUUUUUUAUAUUGUAUCCUUUUCAAAACAAUAAUAAAUAAAAUAAAAAGACAGCUAUCUGUUUAGACCAAUAUACUAUAAGUCCAAUACCAACUAUCGGGGUUUUACCUCUCAAAAAGACCAACUUUGAGAAUUACAUCUGCUAAAUUUGAAUUGGCCUUUCCAACAAGUUGAAGGAGCUUUUUCUUAUCCAUAGUGAAUGUUCCUGUUUUCUCCAUUUUACGAUUUAUAUCUGCAAACUCUUCAACCAAACUAUCAACCUGAAAAAGAAAAGAGAGAAAAGAAAAGGCAUGUUUUGAGAACACAAAUACAAGCACUAAUUGGUGCUGAAGAUUAAAAUGCCAAACUCGGAGAAUUAGUAACUUAGAUAUUUAAUGAGCAAGCAGAUCUCAUAACCUCCGUCAUUCCAGCUAAGUGACAAAAAAUGUCAAUUAUGACACGAUGAUGGAAAAGUUGCAGGAAAUUAUGAUGUCACCAAUCAUGCUUUAGGAAUAGGUCUAGAAAUAAUAUGAGUGGCCUACUAGGUUGUCCCAGGAGUAAAUAAAAGAAUGUGAUAGACUGCCAAUGAUUGUUCACAUAACCAGGCAUUGUAAUCCCAUUUUUUUAUUUUGCUUCCAUACCAAAUCGUAAAACCAAAUUGUAUUUAUAUGUUGUCUUGAUCUUUUGGGAUCAUUCUUUGGAUUGGAGUCCUUUAUUGUAGGAAGGGUUGAACUCUCUUUUCUAUUGUCGGGGAUUGGGCUUCUUUUUUUCUCUUUUCUAUCCUCUUGAGUGCCCUUCUAUGUUCUUCAUUUCUCUCCAAGAAAUUGUGGUUUUGAAUAAAGAUUAAAGAAACAAAAAAUUGAUAAAAAUCAGUUUGACAAAAUGUAAUUUUUAAAAAGAACAUAAAUAACAAUUCUACAGACAUUUCAAGAGCUCCCCAUCUCUCCUAAUCCUAACCAAAGAUAAUUCUUAGAGAGAACCUAUUGGCACCUACUAACCAAUAUAUACCCAUCUACUAGGAACGGGUCUGGUUUCAUUAAAAGAUUAUAGCAAUGAUUCUACAGUUUUGUAUCCUAUUUGACACCUUUAAGGAUUAUUUUGUGUGUUGUAUUUUGUUUUUCAUAGACACCUGUCUAAUGAAGAGCUGUUACCUAUAAUUGGAAAAAUUCACCCAUCAGAGCAUUACUAUGCAAAACAACAGGCAGAAUAUAUCAUACAGCAGGUACUCAUCCAUAACGAAUCUUAAAACCCAUAUGCAAGUCGAUGAAUUUUUUAGCUUUACUUUUACGAUUGAGAUAUUGCUUGGAUAUUGUGGCACAUAUUAAUGUCAUCAACAAACAUCUCAUGAUUCUUAUGUAUGGUUGUAGAAACAAUUUACUCUUUCUUUUCCUCUAUCAGUGAGAGCUUGCUGGGUUGUCCAUGGAUUGUUUUAUACUCUGUACAGUUAUUUUAAUUUUUACUUGACCGACCACCCAUCACAUAUAAGUAAUAUUGUGUAAAAUUCAUUUUACGAGUAGUAAAAUCGGUCAUAUUAAAACGCAGUCAUUACACCAAUUGUUUUCUGUUUGCACUUUGUGGACUGAAUGGUUAUUCUCUUGGAAGUUCCUUUAUCAGAUUUCAUUAUGAAUCUAUUGCAUCUGACUUUUAACUCAAUAAACGGUAGCAUAAUUGUUAAUGUUAUUAUGGUCCUCAUUGAUUUUAAUAAGAUAGACCAAGUGUUCUCUAUCAGCCUCAGAACAUAAGAUAUAGUAUGACGUCAUUUAUCUUAUCAUUUUACAUGGAAGAACUUUCUUGCAAAUGUUUUCUAAAUGAGAAAACAUUACCAUAAGGCAUAAGAUCUAGAAUUAGACUAGGCCUGGAAAAUAUUUUCAUCUUCCAGAGGGAGCAACUACAUCUGUUGAUUAACAUCUUCAUUCUGUCUUUAUUUUACAGGCUGAUGCAGAUAAAGAUGGACGUCUCACCUUGGCAGAAAUGAUCGAUCAUCCUUACGUAUUUUACAGUGCCAUUUUCAACGAAGAUGAUGAGGACGAUUAUGAUUUCCACGAUGAGUUUCGUUAAGUUUUUUCAUGUAUGGACACCUCCCUCUAUCUAACAAACUUCCGCGGACAAGAUCAGUCUUGAUGUUUGUUGCUGUUGCAGGAAUAGUCGAAUAGUCAGAUAGGAUUAGCAGUAGAGAAAACGGAGUUCUUUCGCAGCAUGGAAUCGGGAUACAGAGUUUGAAGUCUUAGGCAACAACUUGGAGGAGAUCUCUCUGGCAUGGUGGUCAGAACUGGGUUAAACUUCUUCAGCCAUGGCUCGCCCAUAUGGUGGUAUCCCUCUUUUUGUAGCAUAUGAAACCCCCAUCUUGUCUAAGAUAACAAUGGUUUCACACCUUAGAUUAUAGACAUUUAUUUGCCAAAAUAGUUUUGUUAAGUUCAAUGUCCUUGGUAUAGAAUUACCAUUUAAUUGUUAUUUGUUACUAAUUUAUUCUUCCUGGAUAGAAAAUUAUCAAUUAUUCAAUCAUAUUUAUCUUUUGAGUAUAGGGUUUUGAAAAGUGAGCUACAAACAGGUGUGUAAUUUUAGAUUUUGUUGCCUUUUCAAAUAUGAUGUUGGAUAUGAUAUUUGGUUUAAGAAUUUUUUGACCAAGUACAAAUAAUUGAAUUUUGUUGCCUUUUCAAAUAUGAUGUUGGAUAUGAUAUUUGGUUUAAGAAUUUUUGGACCAAGUACAAAUAAUUGAAUUUAGGACUAAUUAAAAGUUGACAUGUGUUGACAUAAGGAUGAUGCCACGCAUUUUCAUCGUUGGUUCAAGUUAAAGUUAACUAUUUUAGGUUCAAUUAAAUAUUAUUUAUUUGUACAAUUUUAGCCUAAGAGCUAAAUAUGACAAAAAUAUAUGUGAUUGGAUCCAUGAGUCUGAUCCAUGGAUCAACAAAGUCCAAGCCCAUAAGAGGACUAUAAAUAGAAGAGUCCUCCUCAUCUGUGGAGAUAGAAAUUUUUACUCCAUAGGGUUUAAAGAGAAUUCUCCCAAGAACAAGAAGACUCUCGAGUUUAAAGAGAAUUCUCCUAAGAACAAGAAGACUCUCCUCGACCACCCUCCAAGAUUGAAGAAAAACAUUAUGUGAUGUAGCUUCCUCAAAUCAAACAUAUAGACAUUCAAUCGAGAGAAAAUUAAAGGAUCAAAUAUUAGAAAUAUUGUUUGGUCAAAUUGACACGUUCGAUGGGAUAUCUCUACCUCUUAUCUCUCUCUCAUCAUCUAAAUCUACAAGCAAACCAAUGACAAUAAAGAAAGCUUAAUCCAAAUCUUCUAUAAGCGACACUUGCACAUCUUCUAUUGCAAGCGACGGUUACACAAGACUAGGACCUGUACCCACAGUGUUCAAGGGAAAUCAUCCAGGAGCAGAAUCAAGGUUCUGUCAUUGCGUAGAGCAUUCUUAAGCAAUUGAUGGAGUUUCCUAAAGUUGGGAUUGUCAUCAAGGAAUCCCUUGCUAUAAGAAGAUCGAUAAUCACGAUAAGGUAUAUAGGGAAUAAGUUCACACCUAAAUGAAAUGAAAUAGACCCUACAUUGUCAAAGAAGUUUACACAAAUGAAGUAUACAAGAUUAUUGAUCGAGAUAGAUUAAAAGUUGCCCCAAUCAAUGAUAGGAUUCUCAAGACAUUUUAUGUGUAACGUCAUUAUGUAAAAAGCUCUUUAUCGCAAGAGCUUAAACUGCAUAAUCUCCAAACCCACACGAGCUUAAAAGGUGAGUGAUAAAAAAAAAAAAAAACCAAUCAAACUAUUUGAUCUCAAUGUUAUAAAAAUGGUACGUAGGCAGCUUAAUGUUAACUUUAAGUUCAGUUAUAUGUGCAAGAAAAAAGUUUAGUAAGCGACAUUAUGACUUAAUCUCAUAGUAAAUGGUACGUAAGCAACAUGAAAUAAGAAAUUUUCAUUAUCAUUAAAGCAAAGUUUUGUAUUUACUGAAAUUAAAAAAAGAAAACGAAUAAAAAAAAGGGAAGGGGAGCAAAGUCAAAUCUUCCACAUGAAGCUCUUAAAUUCCUCGUGUGUAGCCUCCAUACUCUUAUGAACUGUAGCUAGAGCCUCGAUGACUUCUUCUUUGAUAGCCGGAGUGUUGACUUCAUUCUGGAUCUUUGCAACUUCUAGUUCUUUCUUGUCUAUGUCUUCGUUCUUCUCACAAGAUAAGAUAGAUAGCUGUUUAGACUCAGUAUUUAUACUUUGAAGUCAGCUGCUUUCUAGUUCCAUCUUUUCCAAAGCCAAUUGUGCAACCCUCUCUUGAAUAACUUUGGCAUCUUUUCGUAAUUGGUUUAUCAAAGUUAAGGCUUCUUGUCUAAUUGAUGAGCUUUGUCUGUCGACGACAACUACGCAAAAUACGAAGAUUGUACAACAUUGAAAUUGUCUACCCUCUUAAAAUAAUUGUUUAAAUAUUCUUCAACAAGGAGUUAGGUUGUCUGCAUAGAUCUUCGCAAUUCUCGAAAGUAUCGUCGUUAUAUUUUGUCUAAAUCUUGAGAUAUAUUUAAAAAGAGUGCACAUGAUCUUGUCUUGAAUGUCCUCUCACAUGCAUAAAGUCGUUUUCUGAAGUAUGUUUGAAACUAUCUUUUCACCAACCCAUGAGAAGGCACAGGGUGUCCUACCAUCUGCUUCUUGGAAGUGUUUAAAGACAACUUAGAAAUCUGGAGAAGAGCAUGUGUGGAUAUGACAUUCUCUGAAGUUUCUUUAGGGCAGACAUUUCCUUUAGAUGGAGGAUUCAAAUUUUUAACAUUUUUUUCAUUCACUUUCAUCUUACCACGUCGAUUCUCCUCGAGGAGAGCACAUGAUUGUUCAGCUUGUUCAGCAACUAGUAGUUUUUAGGUACCAACUUCUUUAAUGGCCAAAUCCACAACAUGAGGCCGUGUCAAAGAUUCAUCGUUGCAUUGCUCAAGCUCUUGAAGAUGAUCAUCUAAAGGUGACUAUAGAAAUAAGUAAUAAGUAAUAAGUAAUAAAAUAAGUAAUAAGUAGUAGUAAUAAUAAUAAUAAUAAUAAUAAUAAUAAUAAUAAUAUAUAAUAAUAAUAAUAAUAAUAAUAAUAUAUAAUAAUAAUAAUAAUAAUAAUAAUAAUAAUAAUAAUAAUAAUAAUAAUAAUAAUAAUAAUAAUAAUAAUAAUAAUAAUAAUAAUAAUAAUAAUAAUAAUAAUAAUAAUAAUAAUAAUAAUAAUAAUAAUAAUAAUAAUAAUAAUAAUAAUAAUAAUAAUAAUAAUAAUAAUAAUAAUAAUAAUAAUAAUAAUAAUAAUAAUAAUAAUAAUAAUAAUAAUAAUAAUAAUAAUAAUAAUAAUAAUAAUAAUAAUAAUAAUAAUAAUAAUAAUAAUAAUAAUAAUAAUAAUAAUAAUAAUAAUAAUAAUAAUAAUAAUAAUAAUAAUAAUAAUAAUAAUAAUAAUAAUAAUAAUAAUAAUAAUAAUAAUAAUAAUAAUAUAAUAAUAAUAAUAAUAAUAAUAAUAAUAAUAAUAAUAAUAAUAAUAAUAAUAAUAAUAAUAAUAAUAAUAAUAAUAAUAAUAAUAAUAAUAAUAAUAAUAAUAAUAAUAAUAAUAAUAAUAAUAAUAAUAAUAAUAAUAAUAAUAAUAAUAAUAAUAAUAAUAAUAAUAAUAAUAAUAAUAAUAAUAAUAAUAAUAAUAAUAAUAAUAAUAAUAAUAAUAAUAAUAAUAAUAAUAAUAAUAAUAAUAAUAAUAAUAAUAAUAAUAAUAUAAUAAUAAUAAUAAUAAUAAUAAUAAUAAUAAUAAUAAUAAUAAUAAUAAUAAUAAUAAUAAUAAUAAUAAUAAUAAUAAUAAUAAUAAUAAUAAUAAUAAUAAUAAUAAUAAUAAUAAUAAUAAUAAUAAUAAUAAUAAUAUAAUAAUAAUAAUAAUAAUAAUAAUAAUAAUAAUAAUAAUAAUAAUAAUAAUAAUAAUAAUAAUAAUAAUAAUAAUAAUAAUAAUAAUAAUAAUAAUAAUAAUAAUAAUAAUAAUAAUAAUAAUAAUAAUAAUAAUAAUAAUAAUAAUAAUAAUAAUACAAGAAAAGAAAAAUAUGUGAACUAGUAGUGUCGAAACUUUAGGAAUUUUCAGAGCACUCAAACCCUUUCCAUAGAAAUCAUCACCUAAUGCCUUUGCUUUCUUCGAAGGUCUCUUGCAAUGAUCGAUCACUUCUGCUACCAUCACUUUCAUCUCUAAGCUCCUUGGCCUCCUUUUGGAGGGUAGGAGCCAUUGCUUUAACCAAAUGAAUAUGUUUACCACCUAGGUUACUCCCUCAAUUCUUGAGUAGUUUGGGUGCUCACCAAAUGGUGUCUAUUAUCCUUAAAAUAUGUCUUGUGCUUUGUUGUCCACCAAUUUCUAAAUCGUGUUGUCACAUGCUUGCAAGACUCUAACGUAUGGGCAAGCAAGAACAACCCAAAUAAAGAUUUGCACCUCGUGCAUAUCUCCACCGAUAUAUAUGUGUUAUUUGGAUGUAAUCACAAGUGACAUUUCCUCUAUAUCAUUAGGUAUAUCUUGGUAAAAGCCAAACUAUUUCUUGAAACUGAUAUGGACUCUAUGAUUGCACAGUUCAAACAUUUCCACAGCGAGAUAAUAAGUAGCAUCAGCGCAUACUUACAAGAUAGGAAGACUGAAGGAAUGAUGAGUCAUUAAUAUCAACCAUGCGUUCAUGCUUAUCGGUUUUGAAGGUUUGCAGGCCAUUGAAUUCUUGAACCAUUGUGGAUAAGUUCUAGCGCCUCAUAUUCUCCAAAAUAAAUAGACAUAUCUUCGUCAGUAAAGUUAGCCAAUUUGGGACCCGAAACUUCUGUUGUGUAGAGGGUAAUGCGUGCCAAAAUAAUUGAAAAUUUAUGUUGAUUCAAAGAAAUUAAUGGUGGAAAAAAUUAUGGAUUACUGGUGGAUUCAAGAACUGUAACUAGUCAGGUCGAGGAAAUCCAAGUAAAUCCAUGCUGAGAAUAUGACCUUAAGUGAAUCUUUUUAGGUAUCAACAAUAAUUGAAAAAUUGUCACUCUCAUGGAGAGAUUUGAAAAAUUAUCUCAAACAUAAACGCAAAGAGAUAAAACUUGAGAAACUUGUGGAUCGGCUUGGGACUAAAGACAAUAAUAGAAAGGCAGAAAAGUGUGUAUUUUGGAUAGUACAAUAGAUCCCAAGGCGAACACCGUGAAAAAUAAACAACAAUGUAACAAAGAAAAGAAAGUUUUUUUGGUGAAGGUUUGAAUACAAAACCUUUUUAUUUGUUUGAUUGUAAUAGAAGAAUUUUCUGAUGCCUUGUCAAUUUUCAAAAGUCCUAAAAAUAGUGUUCAAAUUUUAAAACGACACCAAGUUUUAGCAAUUCCUUGUAAAAAUACUCGUAAAUUUUAAAAAUGUGUGAAUACCUCAAUCACCCUCCUCUUCUCUUCCCCUUUUCUACUUCAAUGUACAACUAAACUCUUCUCUAUUUGUUCUUGACUCGACGUCAAUACCCUUUCGUCUUUCAUCUCCCUCUUCUUAUUUAUAUUGAUAUAUUAUAUUAGUGCUUCAUGUUACCCUAAACCAAGCAAGGUUUAGAGAAAGGGAAAUAGAAUUUGUUUUGGGAAAAGGGAAAAAAAGAAAAAGGUAAAAGAAUUGAAAUGAUAAAAGGUAGAGAAAAAGGAUUUGUACAAGUUGUUAGAAAAAAGAGAGAGAAAAAAAAAGGGAAGUUGGGAAGUUGGGAGGUUGAGGUUGAGGUUGAGGUUGAGGGGACCAAUUAUGGGAAGUAUGUGAUGGGCAAUACACAAAGAAAAAGGCAGCCUUUAUUGAUGUGCCUUUCUCAUCAUCAUCUCACAAAGCUCAUCCAAUUCAAUAUAUGAAGAUUAAAUUACCAUUGCUUCUUGUUACUGUUACCAUUCUCAUCACUAUUUGACAAUAAAUGCAAUUAAAUUUACAACACUAACAAAAUUCAUAAAAGAAAGGUAGAAAUAAUAACAAUGUAAAUAAAUAAAUAAUUGAAUUAAAAAUGCGGCUAAAUUUAGAGAAAGAGAGAGUUACUUAAUAUUGACAUAUAAAACACAAAGUUCAAUUAUAUGUUAACUUUGAAAACAAUGUUCAAUAUUGUGUCAAUGCUAUGUUAGACAUUGUUGAAAAGUUAAAAAACCUAUUUCAUAUAAAGGUGAAAGAUGAUAUUUAUAAUCAUAUAUAGAUAUGGGAUGUAAUGGUUUUGGUUAAACUUAUAAUUUAACAAAAGAGAGAUAAAGGAUAAGAAAUCACUAUCCUCACCUAUAAACAUCUCUAUUACACAAAAGAAAAAGAAAAGAAAAGGGAAGUAAUUGUUGUGAUUGAUGAAGUCAUGAAUGCACAAGUCCAUACAAAUUGACUUUAGUACAAGUUUGAAAGUAUAGCUCAAGUUUGAAAGUAUAGCUCAAGUUUGAAAGUAUAGCUUUGGCAUCAUUGCUAUUAGAAUGGGGAGCCAAAAGGACAAAUAAUAUGUUGGUACAACAAAUAUAUAAUAUCUCCUCCACUCCUAACUUUUUGUCCAUUUCAUUUUUGAACUAUCCAACUUUAAUCUUACCUUUUAUCUAUAAUCAUCUAACACACUUCUUCUUUAAGCUCUCAUAAACCCAUUUUUAUUAGUGUUGCAAUCAUUGCUUUUAAUAGAAAUAGAAGUAUCAACAUUUCAAUUUAGAGUAGUUGUUAAUGCUUAAUGCUUUUUUUUUCUUUUUUUAUAAAAUAAUUCAUGGAAGACGAAUAUGAGGAGUGAUUCAUAUGGAUGUAACAUCAUUUGAAUGCCUAUCUAAUAAAAAUGACUAGAGUUUUAGAAGUGACUCAAAAAUGAACUUCUGCUUGCACUAGCAUCUUGUGAAUUUACUAAUUCAUCCUUAUAAAUUUGCAGUACACUUAUAAUUGAAAAACGCUAAUUGAUGCACGAUCUAUUGUACUUAAUGCUCGAUACUUGAUGUUCUAUGCUUUAUAUUAUAUUCUCUAUGUUAUAUUUUAGAUACUAGAUACUAGAUACUCACUCGAUGCUUUAAUGCUCACUCUUCAAUACUUGAUGUUCUACUACGUUUUAUUUAUGUUAUAUAUAUGUUUACCACUUGAUGCUCUAUACUUGAAAAAAAAAAAAAAAAGCAUUUAAAGUUAAAAGUGAUAAUUUUAGAUAUUUUAAUUGGUUUUAAAAAAGUAUGAGAUAUUUUAUUUGAGGUGAUAUAUGCAAAAAUUUCAAAUAAGGGUGUAAAACUUUAUAGCUAUAUUUGCAUUUAGAAUAAAUAUUUUAUAAGGUUAUUUAUCAUAAGACAACAAUAAAAUUGUGAGAGGUUGGAUUUCAAAACUUUUACAAAUUUAGGAACAUUUUCAUUUAAUACUUCUAUUCAUUUGACAAUAUUUAUAGUGUUAUAUCAUUUAAAAUAAUUUAUAUUAUUCAAAAUCAAUUAUUUUGCUUUCGAUGCCUUUAAAAAUAGCAAUUGAUAAAAUAUUUACAAAAUUAAAUUUGCUAAUUUUGUUGAUGGAAUUGAGUUGGUUAUUUUACCAACUUACUCCAACUCUCUCCAAUUCUUCGUCCAUUCAAUGUUUUAAAUGGUUUCCCCCAUUGGCCUCCAUUAACAAUUACCACUACCACACUUUGGUGACAUACUCCGACAACUUUGAGCUUAUAUGACCAACUUUGAUGAUCACCUUCACACAAGCAAUUUCAGUGACAUACUUCGACUUCUACCUUCGUGUCGCCAAUUUCAUCAACCAACUUGGGGCUCCGCUAACCACCUCCGACCAAAAUCCUAGUCACUAACUCUAAUGACUACCUUUGCACAAGCAACUCCAUUGACAUAUUUUGAGCAGCCACCUUUAGGUGACCAACUCUAGGCUCCAAUAACCACCUCUAACCACAAACUUCGAUGAAUAUCACUUUGGAUGAUCAACUUCAAUGACAACCAUCUCUGGCAACCAACACUAACAUAUAAUCAAGAGACCAACUUCGAUGAAGGCCACCUAUAAUGAGACCGUUAGUGAUAACUCUAUUUUUUGUGAACACGUAAAUAGACGUUUGCACAUUUCCUCCAACUAGUGGACAAACAACGAAACAAGAUAGGAAUUGUUCUCUUUUUAGCUAACAUUUAUGAUGGAGUUAAAAUUAAGUGAGAGUUCAAAAUUGAAGGUUAGGGAGUAGAGAAAAAUGUUCAUUUUAUUGAAAUAUAAGGUGUCAAAGUAUGAUAUAUGUUUACUUGGUAGAAGUUUUGUUAGAUUUGAAGGAAUAGAAGAAAAAAAAGCAUUUUUUAGUAAUUUUUUUUUUAUAGAAAAAGUAGUGUACAUUUGGAGGAAAAAAAAAAAAAAACUCAAUACAAACUCAAUUAUGUUUUAGAAAAAACGCACCACAUAUACGUCAACAUAACUUUACACAAACUUUUAACUUAGCUCAACUCACUACUCCAAAGAUCCAAACACAGACAUUCUAACUUUCCAAAUAAUAAUUACCAACCUAACUUAACUAUGCACAGUCAACAUCUCGUUAAAGCUUUGUUUGAAGCCUCGGAAUUCUGAGUGAUUUUAUUUUAUAACAGAUUUCAAAUAAAUUUCGUUGUUUGUUAUCACAUAAAAGAGAAGGAUUUUAAAAUUUGAAAUGAUUUCAAAUCAUGUUUUUAUUUGAAAAUUUUUCUUGCCAAAAUAAUCGGUUUUUGUAGGAUUUUAUAGGGUUUAGAGUAAAUUAUAUAAUUGACCUCGUCAUUUUCUAAUUUUCAAGUAACAAUCAUAGAUAAAAGUCUAAUUUAGUGAAUUCUUAACUUUUUUUUUUUUUUCAAUUACCAUCCACAUAUGAAAUUUUAAAUAGGUUUUCUUUUUAAAAAAAUCUAAUAAACUAGCAAAAUAUUACACUGUAUUGGACAAUUUUGAAAACGAAAAAAGCUUGCAAGCCCACAAUAGAAAAUACAAAAAAUAUCCCAGUCAAACACGUGAUUAAUUGGUCAGUCACAUACUCGCGUGUAAUUUUUCUUCUACGAUCAUGAUAUGCAAUCACGUAGAAAAUGAUAUACAAUCGUAUAGUUUUUUCUAACGAACAUAAAAAUGCUUCAAAUCUAAACGAAUGUGUUGACCACACUUUAUGAUCGUGUUGACUAUGUAAACAAUCAUUUAGAUCAUAUCCACAUGAUUUUAUAGUUUUUUUUAAACGAUGGAAAAAUGAUUUAAAACCUAAACGAUUGUGUUGACCAUGCUAAAUACGAUUUUGUUGACUAGGUAAGAGAUUGUUUAGAUCAUAUAAAAAUGAUAUUCAUACGACUUUGAUGUUUUGGAAGAGGAUCUAGAAGAAAGAGAAGAUGAAAAAAAUAGAAGAAAAGAAUAUGAAUAAAGUAGAAGAAAAUUUGGAAAAAGAGUCGAAGAAAUCUAAAAGAAAAUAUGGAUAUUGCAAAGAAUAAGAAAGAAAAAUGACAAAUUGUCCGUAAUAUCAAAGACAAACUUGAAAUUUAUGAAAAUAUUUCACCGACUUUAUGAACUUUUUGUUUUUGUUACACGGACCGUAAAUAUUUUGGUAUUUUGUUACAUUUAUAAAAAUUAACAUUUUAAAUAUAGUUAUAUAAACAAUUUCUCAUUUAAAAAAAAAUAAUUAUUUUUUAAUAUUUGUGUUUGAAAACUUUCCUACAUUUUGAACCUUUGAAAAUGCUCCAAUGUUUUAUUUCAUUAAUUUUUCUCCUAAAAGAGUUGUUUUCAAAUAUGACAAAAUGAACAACUUUUUUACAAAUAUAUCAAAAUAUAACAGUCGACGAACAAUAGACUACUUUCUGUGACACGAUCGCUAACUCUGUCAUAGUCUGUCACUAAUAAAGAAAAAAUAUAAUAUUUUGGUGUAAUUGUAAAUAAUUAUUUUAGUAAUUUUAUAAUUUAAAACAAAAUGCUAGUACUUUAUUCCCUUACAAACAUAACAUAAAUUUAAUUAUCAUCUUUUUUUGUUUUUAUUUAAGUUGUUAUAUUUGGAAACAUAAUUUUAUAAUUUUAUGUUAUGCUACUCAUGUGUGGAUAUCUCUAAAAAAAAUGUGAUAUUGAUUUUGUUGUAAAAACUAAUUGGAACACCUAUCUCAGAAAUACAAUAUUCAACAAGAAAAUAACAAAGAUAAAGAUGAAAAAUCUCAAAAUUUCACACUUUCUCCACACGUUAUUGGAAUUCCUCGGUGUCCAUUAAAAUUGACAAAAUCCAACUAUUUAUAGGUAAUUUGACAAGCAUGAGGUGAAUUACAUAGUUAAGGGUGGACAUGUGGCUAUGGACACUGACCAUACUUACGAGUAUAAUAUUUAUAAUAAUUUAAUAAUUUUUUUUAAAAAAUAUUUUUCAAUAUUAUUUAUUGGUCCUUGUAUUAUUAUUAUUAUUUUGAAAGAGACUAUGUUCUCUUCAAUCUUUAAUUUUCUUUCUCUACUUUAAAUAUACAAUUAUAUAUUUGCCACCUCCAUACCGAUCAAAUAUUCCUGAAAUAUUGAUUUUAUAUGAUACAUAAAUAUAAUUCGGUAAUUCUAAAAUCAUUUUUGGAACAAAAUUAAUUUUAAACAUUUGAAAAUCAUUUUUCAGAAAUCAAUUUUACUUAAAAUCUUUUUUCUAAAAUUACUACUCCCACUAUUACUCACAAAUACAUCCUAAUGAGAAUAGUUGAAGAUAUAACAAAUUCCAAAUUAGAGAAGAAUGAAGAAAUAGAGAUUAUCUUAUAACUUUUGAACAUAUUUUUCGGGUUCUCAAUCGGGGGAGAAUAUUCCAGAGAUGUAGCUUAUCGCAUAAACAAUAUUAAUGGGGUAUUGAUUUUGUAGAUUGAGUACAAGAAAGGAUGUGGAAUGAACUAAAGCGGCCGACUGCCAGUUAUAAGAGAUUAACCACACGGUAAAAAAUAUUGAAUAUGGGCAACUCGAUAAGUAUUGUGGGCGGGCUGAAACCCUUCGGUUUUCAUCGAAUCUAAGUGGAUUCUUGGAAAAAAGUGAAUCUCUAUAGACAAUAUAUCGAUUAUCCUUGUAUAAACAUGAGGACAGCUUCAGCUUCCAGAUGGAUAUCUUGCUAUUUUACAAGGAGGAAGGAUUUUUCCAUCGCAUUAAUCUAUUACUUUCAUUAUUACAGCUGAAUGUUUCCAAUAACAGCCACGAUAGGGGGACAUGCAUGGUGCAUUGAAUUUAACAUAUCAAAGGCUUUUACAAUAUGUCAAAAAGGGUAGGAUCUGAAUUGGUCCGAGGUAUAGAAACAGCCCAUAAAAUCCGCAAAACCUAUAAUGUUGCUGAAUGUUUCCGUUGUGUUCAGCAGAGCCAAAUUUACUUGAUCUAUUACACUCCGGCUGGUUUCCUUCAGUGAGCAUAUGAAACCCAUAAUACACAGGACCGGUGUGAUGGGAAGAUAUUAGUAUGGAUUUUAUUGUAGGGCCUCCACAGUUAGGUACAAGGGGGAGGGUAUAAUGAAUGAGGAACAAGAUGAAGAAGGAAAGAUGGGGGUUGGUUAAUCCAGUUGUCGAUGAGGAAGUUGGAGGGGCAUGUGCACCAAUUUUCUGGAGAGCAGAAUUGACAUGAAGCUACGUUAACUGGAGGUGUCGACAUUUAAAUCUUAGGAAGAAGUGUUUGUCCAUUGAUCGCUACAACGUGUGGAGCUUUAUGAUGUUGUGAAUGUUUUACGGAUUUUGAUAACUUGGAUAUUGCGGUCCUGUAAUAGUACUUGUUUGCUUCGGACUGUUUUCAAUGGAACUAGGUUUGAAAGUAAAUUGUAUUCUGUACAUAAUUUGGUUAGCUUAAGUGGAACAAAUAAGAACCAUUCGACCUUGGUGAUCUACAUGCAAGCUUCAUCAAAUCACAGCAUACACAUCUCAAUAAGGUAUUAUACAUGGCAAUUCAAACAAUUCACGAACAUACAUAACCAUUUGACUCAAAACGACCUAGAAACUAAGUUUGUGUCUGGGCUGAAGGAACAGACCCUAAAACGUGCAUCCAAAACGCUAGAGUCUAAACUUUCACUGGCCCAACUAAUUCAGAAGAUGAUCGACCGGUUCAAUUGAACAGCAUUCACGGUGCAGGUUCGUAACUCAUAACCUACGAAAUAAAGUGUCAAAUAUUGUGAAAAAAGCACUACAAGAACCCAAAAUGGGUCAAAGGCCACAGAUCGUGUAAGUGCAACACGAACGAUUACGUUCAAACCAAGCCUAAAAUCGUCGUACUCGUCCAAAACGAUUGCUUCAUCGCAGGUAUUAGGCGCUUAGAGUACGUUGUCUAACCAUACCGACCAAUGACUGACAACGAAGUCCGGAUUAAGAAGGUAAAAGGUUUCUGUUUUAGACGUGACGAGAAGUUUAAUCUAGGGCACCGCUGCAAAAGGUGUGAAAUGAACAGCAUUGCUGUACAAGAACCGGAAGACUUAAGUGACAAAACCGAUGUAGUGUAAGUAGCAAUCGAAACUCAAUCUAACCUAAAAUGUCAAUUCAGAAACAGUGAAUCUGUAAGUAAAUUCACUUGAAUGUUUCAAAACGCCGAAACCAUAGCAAUUAAAGGAGCUAUAAGGGGUCGUAAGGUUGUGUAACUCAUCAACCUGGGAGCCACGCACAAUUUUAUUGCAAAAGAGUCAGUGAAAGAGCUAAGUACUUCAAGACCCAACAUGGAUGCAUAUCAAAUGUUGUGUUUAAACUUAGGCGUAGUCAAACCAACCUAAAACUGUAAGGUUCAAAACGUGUCAAUCGCCAAGUUAUCAAUCUCUGACGACUUUCAAAAUCGACCACUAAAAAAUGCUUACGUUAUGUUAGGAGUUACGUAACUCAUAACCUUACGGAAAAAAGUUUUUUAUUACAAAUUGUAGGAGAUGAAAAAAGCACUACGUGAAUGGGGUAACCCAACAAUGGCAACCAAGUGUAGUAAGAUGCAACAAUCACUUAGUUCGAUAACCAAAACCUUUAAGAACGAUGCUCAAAACGUGUCAAUCGAAUUAAGUGUAGUUGUACUGUGGGGAGUUUUCGAAGCAACGGAACACAUAGCAAACUCCUUAAGUGAACUACAGUUAGUAACUCAUAAGUUCUUCAGUCCUAAAAAGUUGUGUUUGAAAAAAGCAAUCAAUUACAAGACCAAAAAGGCUCGAGCAACCAACGUGCGCAACAAACUCAAUCUAACCUUAGAAAGAUGUGAUUCAGAAACGUGUUAAGUAAGUACUGCUAGCUUGAAUUAUUCAGCCAAGCAAACGAGCCUCAGGCAAUGCUUAAGUGUAAGUUUGUAACUCACAACCUACCCAAAAUUUCAAAAAGUGUGAAAAAAGUACUUCAAGACCCAACAUGUCAAUCAAAUGUGUUUAAAACUUACUGUCAAACCAACCUAAAACGAGUUCAAAACGUGUCUAAGUAUCACUUGAACUUUCAAAACGACCUAAAAAAGCUUACGUGUAGGUUCGUAACUCAUAACCUACGAAAAAAGUUCAAAUAGAGUGAAAAAAGCACUACAAGACCCAAAAUGGCAACCAAGUGUGUAAGUGCAACAAACUUAGUUCAAACCAACCUAAAACGUGCUCAAAACGUGUCUAGGUAUUACUUGAGUUUUCAAAACGACCUAGCAAAUCCUAAGUGUAAGUUUGUAACUCAUAAUCUACCAAAAAGGUUGAAAAAAGCAUUUCAAGACCAAAAAUGACAACCAAGUGCAACAAACUCAAUCUAACCUAAAAUGUAUUCAAAACGUGUGUACGUAUCACUUGAAUUUUCAAAACGACCCAGCAAUGCUUAAGUGUAAGUUUGUAACUCACAACCUACCAAAAUUUCAAAAAGUGUGAAAAAAGUACUUCAAGACCCAACAUGUCAAUCAAAUGUGUUUAAAACUUAGUGUCAAACCAACCUAAAACGAGUUCAAAACGUGUCUAAGUAUCACUUGAACUUUCAAAACGACCUAAAAAAGCUUACGUGUAGGUUCGUAACUCAUAACCUACGAAAAAAGUUCAAAUAGAGUGAAAAAAGCACUACAAGACCCAAAAUGGCAACCAAGUGUGUAAGUGCAACAAACUUAGUUCAAACCAACCUAAAACGUGCUCAAAACGUGUCUAGGUAUUACUUAAGUUUUCAAAACGACCUAGCAAAUCCUAAGUGUAAGUUCGUAACUCAUAAUCUACCAAAAAGGUUGAAAAAAGCAUUUCAAGACCAAAAAUGACAACCAAGUGCAACAAACUCAAUCUAACCUAAAAUGUAUUCAAAACGUGUGUAAGUAUCACUUGAAUUUUCAAAACGACCAGCAAUGCUUAAGUGUAAGUUUGUAACUCACAACCUACCAAAAUUUCAAAAAGUACGAAAAAAGUACUUCAAGACCCAACAUGUCAAUCAAACGUGUGUAAAACUUAGUUUCAAACCAACCUAAAACGAGUUCAAAAUGUGUCUAAGUAUCACUUGAACUUUCAAAAGGACCUAACAAAUAUUCAAUACAAGUUCAUAAGUCAUAACCUAGCAAAAAGUUCAAAAUUUUUUAAAAAGACACUCCAAAACCCAAAAUGUCAAUUGUGUAAGUGCAACGAACUUAGUUCUAUACAAACCUAACAAGUAUUCAAAACAUGUAUAAGUUUUCAAACAACCUAACAACGCUUAAGUGUAAGUUUAUAACUCAUAACUUACCAAAAAUUUCAAAAAGUGUGAAAAAAAAUCUUUUAAGACUCAAAAUGGAAACCAUGGCUGUAUGUAAAACUAACUUAGUUUGUAACAACCUAAAAGGUGUUCAAAAAAUGUUUAAGUAUCACUCGAACUUUAAAAACGACACUAAUAAUGCUUUAGUGUUACUUCAUAACUCAUAAUCUACCAAAAAGUUCAAAAAAUGUAGAAAAAGCACUCCAAAAUCCAAAAUGGCAACCAAGUGUGUAAGUGCAACAAACUUAGUCUCAACUUUAAAAUUAGUGCGAGUUGGGAAAUGUAUUAACUCAAGCAUGAUGUACAAACUUGAAACGACUUAAAUAUUUAUUCACCAUCACAUAAAAACAGUAAUUAAAUAUAGAUAACAUGUGUAAAUAAAGGGAGAAUCACCUUUCUAGCAGUAGCUUUAGAGUAAGACCAAACACCAUCCCCCUACUUGUAAAUCUGCUCGAUUGUCUACUUUGUUCUACACUCGUCAUUUCACCGUCUCAGGCCAUCCAUUGAAUUGGCCACCCAGCCUUGGCAUACAAGAGUAUGUCUCAGCCUGUUAACAAAUACCACUAAAACUAAGCAAGACUAAGAAAAAAGUUUUCAAAAAAUUACCUAACUUUUAGGUCUUCAUGUGACCUUUAAGUUCUUCUGUCUUCUCCUUCAACUCUUUGACAGAUUGCUGAAAUUAUGUGUUUCUGCAAUGUUUACCAGAACAUGAAAGAUUCAUUACGAAACUAAUUACCAUGAAUACAAGCCAUGAAGAAAUACAAAGAAGCCUCUUCAUUAAGCUGAAAAUGAGUAGACAAGACAAAAGAUAAUACAAAGAAGCCCUAGGAUCAGCUAGUGCACUUGGACAUCUCAUCUAGGUUGACACCCACUUAGCAUUCUCACCAUAUCGAGACUUUAAACCAAAAGACUAAACGACAAGGUUUAGAAUAGAUCAUACAAACUGCCCAAUAACUAUACAACAUAGAUUUAAGACCACUAGAAAUCCAAAAGAAAUAAAAUAAGAGUACAGUAGUGGACUAAGAAUUAAAAAUGAAAGUCGGCCAAUUAUGACUUAUAUCUUGUAUGGAGAAAUCUUUGAAGUCUUUUGAAAGAGAGCAUCAAGUAGAAGCAUUGAUUCUAGCCAUUUCGACUCGAGUUGUCCAAGAGGAAGCUUUAUUUUGAAAUGUUAGUUGAUUUUGUUCAAACCAAAUUUCUGGUAAAAUGGCCUUUACUGCAUUUAACCAAAUCAAUCUUGGUUUCUUCUUGAGAAUGGGACAUGAAAUAAGCUGGACCACGUUCUCCUAAAUCUAUAGUCGAAAACCCAAUUCAAAUGAAGAUAGCCAAGUAAGCCAAACCAACACUUCUUUGCAUGUAAGCAGGAGAAGAAAAUAUGAUGUAAAUCUUCUAAAGCAUGCAAACACAAGGGACAAACAUGAGGAGAUAAACUGAGAAAGGGAGGUUUCAUUUGCAAAACUUCUGCACAGUUCAUAGUCCAUUUUGCAUUCUCCAAAGUGUGAUAUUCACUCUUCUAGGGCUUUUUGUCUUCCAAAUUGUCGAGUACUUUGUUUUCAAGACUGUGUUAGAACCUGUUUUCUGUAAAUGUUUGGCUGAUUAAUAAAUUAGUAGAACACACUAUUUGGUGUUCUAUCAUUUUGGUAUCGUAGAAAUCGAAUCUGUGAAGUUCUAUAUCAUGGCUCAAAAGCGAAUUGAGGAAAAGUUGGAAAUGGUAGAUCAAGAAAUAUCCGGCAUUCGAGCAGAAUUACAUGAUCUGCCAACAAUCAAGGAAAACAUGUCAUCUUUGGCGAAGAGUAUUGAGAGGUUAGGAGUACAGGCUGAGAAGCAACAACAGCAACCAGAAACACUGUUGAAAUAUAUUGAAGGAAUGAUCAAAGAGAAGACAACGAUGGAAGAAGUACUAGAAGGAUCAUCAAGUAAAGUUGACAGCAUGGUUGAUGUCAGUGAUUGGACGAUGAUGGGAGGAAAAUCUGAGGAAAAACAUACCAAGUUGGAGGGUGAAGAUUCUGCGGGCGACCGAAGCAAAUUUAAAAAAAUUGAAAUGCCAGUUUUUGUGGGAAAUGAUCCUGAUUCUUGGUUGUUGUUUAGGGCUGAGAGAUACUUUCAGAUACACAAACUGAGUGAGUCAGAGAAAAUGACUGUGUCCAUUAUUAGUUUUGAUGGAGCAGCUUUGGAUUGGUAUAAAUCUCAUGAAGAUCGUGAACCGUUUGUUAAUUGGGACGAUUUAAAGAAGAGACUUAUUGUUUGAUUUCGAUCGAGUCGUGAGGGAUCAAUUCUGGGAAGAUUUUUAAAGAUCAAGCAAGAAAUUACAGUGGAAGAAUAUCGGAAUUUAUUUGACAAAUCAGUAGCACCAUUGCCUUUUCUACAAAAGGCUGUCUUAGAAGAAACAUUUAUGAAUGGUUUGAAACCAUGGAUUAAGGCAGGCAUGGAAUGUUGGGAACCUAUGGGGCUUGCUCAAAUGAUGAAGUUGGCCCAAAAGAUUGAGAACCGAGAAGUGAUAAGGGGAGAAUCAAGUUUCAAACGUGCAGCGGAUGGAAAAUUCCAGGUUUCUGCUUCUUUUAAACCUCAAAUUCCUGUGAUUUCUAAUGAUAAUAAGUCAGAAGGGAUUGUUCCAAUGCGGAUGAUUACACUUCGAGGAGUGGCUGGUGAACCUAAUCGACGAGAAGGACCACUAAAACGACUUCCUGAUGCUGAAUUUCAGGCUAGACGUGAGAAAGGUCUCUGUUUUCGUUGUGAGGAAUGAUUUUUUGUGGGCCAUAAGUGUAAAGUGAAAGAUCAUAAGGAACUUAGAGUUUUAGUUGUUGGGGCAAAUGGGGAAGAACUAGAAGUAGUUGAAGAAGAGGAUUCAGGAAACUUCUGAUUAUGGGGUUAUUUUGGGGUCUGAAUCAGCUGUAAAAGGGAAGGGAAUUUGUAAACAAGUGGAACUGCUAUUGGGUGAAUGGAAGGUUGUGGAUAAUUUUCUGCCAUUGGAAUUGGGGGGGAGUGGAUGUCAUUCUUGGUAUGCAAUGGCUACAUACAUUAGGAGUAACCGAAGUAGAUUGGUGAAAAAUUACUUUGACAUUCAUACAAAAUGGGAAGAAGGUUGUAUUAAGGGGAGAUCCGAGUCAUACGAAGGCUAGGGUGAGUUUGAAGCACAUGAUGAAGACAUGGACAGAACUUGAUCAGGGAUUUCUGAUUGAGUGUGGAUCUUUGGAAGGUGGAAUGGCAUUUGCAGCGAUGUAUGGGGUUGAUGAAGUGCCUACCACUCAUGAGUCUAUUCCAGCCGUGUUAGCUAAGAAUGAAGAUGUUUUUGAUUGGCCUGGAGAGUUGCCACCACAAUGUACCAUUGAACAUCAUAUACAUCUUAAGAAGGGGACUAAUCCAGUCAAUGUUCGGCCUUAUAGAUAUGCAUACCAGCAAAAGGAGGAGAUGGAAAGAUUGGUUGAUGAAAUGAUGGCAUUUGGCAUAAAAACCUAGUACUAGUCCAUAUUCGAGCCCGGUCUUGUUGGUGAAAAAAAAAUGGUAGUUGACGGUUUUGUGUAGAUUACCGUGCGUUGAAUAGUGUGACCGUUCCAGACAAGUUUCCUAUUCCAGUAGUAGAGGAAUUGUUUGAUGAACUUAAUGGGGCUAAUAUAUUUUCGAAGAUUGAUCUCAAGGCGGGAUAUCAUCAAAUUAGAAUGUGUAAAAAGGAUGUGAAGAAAACAGCUUUUAGAACUCACGAGGGGCAUUAUGAGUUUCUUGUCAUGCCUUUUGGGCUCACCAAUGCACCAUCAACGUUUCAAGCUUUGAUGAAUAGUAUCUUUAAACCUUACCUACGCAGGUUUUCUUAGUCUUUUUUGAUGAUAUAUUAAUUUACAGCAGAAGUUUGGAUGAAAAUCUUCAACAUUUAGAAUGGGUGUUAGAGGUGCUGCGAGAGAAUAAAUUAUAUGCUAAUAUGCAGCACAAGUGUGGGUUUGCCAAAAUGAAAGUGGAGUAUCUUGGCCAUAUAAUUUCGGGCAAGGGUGUAGAGGUUGAUCCCGAGAAAAUUAGAUCUAUCAAAGAAUGGCCCGUGCCCACUAAUGUCCGUGAAGUUCGUGGAUUUCUUGGGUUGACAGGAUAUUAUCGAAGAUUUGUAAUGAAUUAUGGAAGUGUGGCUGCUCCUUUGACUCAACUAUUGAAGAAAGGAGCAUAUGAAUGGACUGUUGCAGCUGCUGAAGCUUUUGAGAAUUUAAAGAUGGCUACGAUGACUCUCCCAAUCUUAGCACUGCCAGAUUUUUCCUUACCAUUUGAAAUAGAGACCGAUGCUUCUGGAUACGGGGUAGGUGCUGUCUUAAUUCAAAAUCAUCGGCCAAUUGCUUAUUUUAGCCAGACAUUAGCUAUGAGGGAUCGUGCUAAACCAGUUUAUGAACGGGAAUUAAUGGCUGUAGUUUUGGCUGUGCAACGCUGUAGACCUUAUCUUUUGGCAGGAGGUUUGUAGUGAAAACUGAUCAACGAUCAUUGAAACUUUUAUUGGAACAAAGGGUUAUCCAACCUCAACAUCAGAGGUGGAUUGCUAAGCUUCUUGGCUACAAUUUUGAUGUCGUGUAUAAACCGGGACUAGAAAACAAAGCAGCAGAUGCCUUGUCUCGUGUCCCUCCUACUGCCCAACUUAAUCAACUUACUGUUGAGAUCAGUUAAAUUGGCAGUCCCCAACACUGAAGUUGACCCUAAAUUAGUCCCAGAAAUUAAUGGGAUGGAUCUGAAUGUCUUGUUCAAUGAUGAAGAUAUUCUCCCUAUUAAAAUUCCCCUGGAUUUGCCUAAAGAUUUAGUGUCUAUAGUCGGCGAUUGUGGAAUCAUUCUGGCUUAAAUUAGAUGUGCAACUGCCUUUUCCUCCUCCCAGUCAUUAUUAAGGUUGUCUCCUGGAACACUAAGGGUUUGAACGACUCCUCUAAACGUGCAGCACUUAAAAAAUUCAUCAACAAUUGUAGUCAUGAUUCAAGAAUCUAAGAAGGAUACCUUGAACUCGGCUUUUAUAAAAUCAUUGUGGAGUUCUAAGGAUAUUGGCUGGGAUUAUGUGGCUUCUGUUGGAUCUUCUGGGGGAAUUCUUACCAUGUGGGACAGCAGUAAAAUAUCUGUAACAGAGGUCAUUAAAAGACGCUUCUCUUUGUCAAUCAAAUGCCUCACUUUGUGCAAAAAGGUUUGUUGGAUCACAAAUGUCUAUGGCCCUUGUGGUUGCAAAGAAAGGAAAUUGGUUUGGCCCGAAUUGUCUUCCUUAGCUGAUUGUUCGGCCGUGGCCUGGUGCAUAGGUGGGAAUUUUAAUAUCACUCGUUGGGCCCAGGAAAGAUUUUCUUUUGGCAGAAGUACUAGAGGAAUGUCAUUAUUCAAUAAGUUUAUUGACAUGGUUUCUCUCAUGGAAAUUCCAUUGCAAAAUGGAAGGUUCACUUGGUCUAGAGACGGUAGUUCUCCUUGAAGAUCAUUAUUAGACACAUUCUUCAUAAAUCAGAUGUGGGAUGUUUGUUUUGAAAAUUCUCGGGUUUCUCGAAAAGCACGCAUCUUCUCGGAUCACUUUCCUUUAUUCUUGGAGGCUGGUUCUUUUCUUUGGGGUCCCUCUCCUUUUCGGUUUUGUAACAGCUGGUUGGUGUCCAGUGAUUCUAAUCAGAUUAUUGUUGAAACAGUGAGCAACUCUAACUUCCAGGGAUGGGCUGGUUUCAUUCUUCAUGAGCAGUUGAGAUCAGUUAAAUUGGCAGUAAAAGCUUGGAAUAUUGCUGCGCAAGCUAAGGUAAAAAAAAAAACAGAGAAAUCCUUGAUGUCAAAAUUAGAAAAAUAUGAUUUUGUGGCUGAGUUGAUUGGAUUAAAUCAAGAAGAGUUGAAUUCUAGAGCUGCUUUGCAAGCGGAAUUACUUAGUAUUUAUCAAAAUGAAGAGCGUAAUUUUAUUCAGAAGAGUAAAACUCAAUUGGCUUUCUUUGGGUGAUGAGAAUACGGGCUUCUUCCACCGCUUUCUAAAUGCGAAUAAAAGAAGGAACCUCAUAACUGAAUUAAAAGAUGAUGAUGGGGUUGUCUCGACUUCAUUCCGCGACAUUGAAAGGCUUGUGCUGGAAUUUUUUGAGUCACUUUAUACCAGAAUUCCGGGGGACAGAUUCAUCCCUAUUAACAGUAAUUGGUCUUGUGUUUCCUCAAUUCAGAAUGAGGCUCUUGUUACCCAGUUUUCAGUGGAGGAGAUCUUUAAGGCAUUAAAGGCACUUGGCAACAAUAAAGCUCCGGGCCCGGAUGGCUUCACAGUGAAGUUCCUAAUCACCCAAUGGUCUAUUUUCAAGGAUAUCUUCAAAUCACUAAUGUCUGAUUUCCACAGAAAUGGAAGAUUAAAUGCUUGCAUCCAAGAAAACUUCAUUUGUUUAGUGCAGAAAAAAGAGAAUGUGACUCUAGUCAAGGAUUUCCGUCCAAUCAGCCUUACUACGUUAGCAUACAAGGUCGUCGCAAAGGUUUUAUCUGAACGUCUAAAACAAGUUAUGGAUGCAAUUAUAAGCCCCACUCAAAGCGCCUUUAUUGAAGGUAGGCAAAUUCUUGACCCAAUAUUAAUUGCUGGAGAGGCCGUGGAAGAUUAUAGGGCAAAACGGAAAAAAGGAUGGAUUUUAAAACUUGACUUGGAAAAAGCCUUUGAUAGGGUGAAUUGGAACUUUUUAGAAAAAAAUUUAUCUUUGAAAAAGUUUAGUUCCAAAUGGAUAUCAUGGAUAAUGGGCUGCCUAAAAAAUCCAAAGUAUUCAGUCUUCAUCAAUGGUAAGCCUAGAGGCCGGAUAACAGCAUCUAGAGGUAUCCGCCAAGGGGACCCCCUCUCCCCCUUUUUAUUCCUCCUAGUAAGUGAGGUUUUAGGAGAAAUCAUAAACAAGCUUCAUAUUAACAGCCAGUUUGAAGGUUUCCUUGUUGGCAAAGACUUGAUCCACCUCCCUUUGCUUCAAUUUGUCGAUGAUACUCUUCUCUUUUGUAUGUAUGAUGUGAAGAUGCUCCUUAAACUUUAAAACGUCAUUAGAUUAUUCGAAUGGUGUUCGGGGCAGAAAGUAAACUGGGAAAAAUCAGCCCUUAGCGGCGUUAAUGUGGGAGAGGAAGAAAUAAGGGGACGUGAGGUUGUGGUGCUGAUCGAUGGGGGAGCCACGCACAAUUUUAUUGCAGAAGAGGUAGUCAAAGAGCUAAAAAUUUCAGUAGAAACCAUGGAUGCAUAUGGGGUUGUUAUGGGAACCGGAGGCGUAGUCCAAGCAACCAGUGUGUGUAAGGAUGUAAACCUGACAAUCGCCAAUUUAUCAAUCACUCACGAUUUUCUCCCUCUACCACUCGGGAGUGCCGACGUUAUAUUAGGAGUUACUU
RNAcentral lists this long non-coding RNA (86888 nucleotides) under Cucumis sativus (cucumber). Its description in RNAcentral is "long non-coding RNA (CSAT_LNC003097)". The record is from RNAcentral. Lineage: Eukaryota; Viridiplantae; Streptophyta; Magnoliopsida; Cucurbitales; Cucurbitaceae.